RNAcentral lists this long non-coding RNA (78759 nucleotides) under Triticum aestivum (bread wheat). RNAcentral's name for it is "long non-coding RNA (TAES_LNC011440)". The stretch from base 71093 to 71227 matches the Rfam family "MIR1120/MIR1122 microRNA precursor family". The record is from RNAcentral. Lineage: Eukaryota; Viridiplantae; Streptophyta; Magnoliopsida; Poales; Poaceae.
CGCGAAGCCAAUUUCGCUUAUGAUGUGAUUGUCAAAUGUUGUAGGUCAAGAAUGAUGUGGAGGGUCGCGUCCGUCGGUGGCCGCUAAUCUGGCACGCGUCUGUGGCGUUCUUCCACUUGGCGCUCUUGGUGGGACUCAUCGGGCUCGUUCUUCAAAUCUGUGGCGGGUCUCAAGAGGUUUCUUACCUUCUCCGCAUUGCGGCUGUGCUGUGCAAGCUCCUACUCACCGUGCUCUUCUGCAUCCGUGCUGCUGUGGCGCUGUGGAGGAUGAAUCCUCAACAGCCGGCCGCAGUUGGUGCUGCGGUAGUGUGAUGAGUGUACGGAGUAGUAAUCUAAUCUAUCUAGUAACUACUUGUAGUAGGCUUGCUUCAAUGCUAGGCCGCCAAGAAGAAGUACCGGAUCUAUCUAUCUAACACAGCUCCAUUGUUUACCCCAGUGAUGAACAGCGUCCAUUCUAUGUAAUCAUGUACUCGUAGCCACAGUGAAUUCCAGUAUAUGUUAUCAGGUCCCUUAAUUCUCUGCCUAUAUGACUUGACGUACGCUCUGAUGAAGUGAUGAAGAACUUCCAUUCUAUGUAAUCAUUUUGCAUUUCACUCUACUUGUAUUAAGUUGCUAGAUUUGUUUUUGGCUGGGUUUUGGCGCAGAGGGACGGAUCGAGCAGCUAGGAGAAAGCAGCCGAGCUGCUGCUUGCUUCUUUCUGUUCCUGGUGGGAUUCUUUCUGGCCAAUUCCACCGCGUGACCCUACCCUGUCCGUCCCCGUCCGUUUGGGAUAAAAGGUACAAAAGAAACGGCCCAGCGCGCGGGCGCAAACGGACUUUGUGUCCGCUUUGUGUCCGUUUUCGACCCAUCCCCGGCCCAAACUUGCGCUGGUUUUGGGGUGAAACGGACAGCGCGCGGACGGGCGGGAUGUGCGCCCUUGUCCUCCCCUGGCCCGCCCNNNNNNNNNNNNNNNNNNNNNNNNNNNNNNNNNNNNNNNNNNNNNNNNNNNNNNNNNNNNNNNNNNNNNNNNNNNNNNNNNNNNNNNNNNNNNNNNNNNNNNNNNNNNNNNNNNNNNNNNNNNNNNNNNNNNNNNNNNNNNNNNNNNNNNNNNNNNNNNNNNNNNNNNNNNNNNNNNNNNNNNNNNNNNNNNNNNNNNNNNNNNNNNNNNNNNNNNNNNNNNNNNNNNNNNNNNNNNNNNNNNNNNNNNNNNNNNNNNNNNNNNNNNCCCAUUUGGCGCCAUUUGCCCCAAACCCUCCCGCCUCCCUCCCGCCGCCCUCUCUCUCCUCCGUCCAUGGCCGACGCCCCGCCGAGUACCGGCGGCCUGGCCGCCGUCCCGCCCGCAAAGGUGAAGAAGAAGGCUCGAAGGAAAGCGCGGUCGGAGUACACGCCGGAGGAGAUCGCCAAGUUGGACGCGGAAUCGGCGAAGAGGAGGGAACGGAGAGCGGUAGUCAAGCUCAAUGCCGCCGCGGCCAAGAGAGCUGCCAUGCGCGAGGAGCUGGAGGCCGCGCGGCACAAGGCCGCUGCCGACGAGAAGGAGGACAUCGUCGUCAGCAAAGCUCACGUCAUCCUCAUGCUUGGCAUGGGCCGUCCUGCCGGGUUCCCUGCAGCGGACGUCGCACCGGCGAGCACCAGCUCGUCGGUUGCGCAAUGACAAGCCAUUCACUCUUACGCAUUGUUGGACGCUCAUCAACAUGUGCCCUAAGUUCAAGGACCAAUACCGUGAACUACAAUGGAAAAGAGGACUGAAGACGGCCAAGUUCGCCAGAGGUGGAGAUGGCAAGGCGUUGAAGAGGCCGAGGGGCAAGACCAACUCCAAGGUGGACGGCAUACGUGACACCUCAUCCAUGGCCUUGCAUGAGACUUUGCAUGGCAUGAUAUCCCAAAAGGAUGUGAGGGACAAGAAGAAGCGGCAAAGCAAGGACGAGCAAAUGAAGCAAUACCUAGACCUUCAAAGACAGAAGCUUGAGAUGGAGGAGGCGGCCAAGAAGAGGAAGCUCGACAUGGAGGAGGCGGCCCGGCAAAGGUAGCUCGACAUGGAGGAGGCGGCCCGGCAAAGGCAGCUGGACAUCGAGGCCGACAACGUCAAGGCCAGGCAGAGGCAGCUCGACAUCGAGGCCACCAAUGCCGCCACCAAAGCGAAGGAGGUGGCCCUUGCGAUCAUGAGCGUGGACUUGUCGAAGAUGAGCGACAAGACGAGGGCCUGGUUCGAAGCCAGGCAGAAGGAGAUGCUCGACGCCGAAGGCCUGAACUAGGUCAUCCGAUCGGCGUGGCCGUUCUUUUUGAGGCUGACAUGGGUGCCGCCCGCCCGUCGGGGGCCGCUGGCAGUGCGCCGGCGAGAAAACAUUCAUUUUGGAGGUUGGCUGUGUUGCCGGCGAGAAAAACUAUUCAUUUUGGAGGCUGGCUGUGUUGCCGGCCGCUGGUUGAUGCCGGCGAUGGACGUGUAGGCCGGCGUGAACCGGGAACGCUAGCUGAAUUAGUUUUUUAUGGAUGCGGACAGGAUGGGGCAAAUGGAUGCGGCCUCGCGCUGCGCGCACGACCACCGCAUCCCAGGACACGCCCGGACACGGCCCCAAACCCCUACUCAAACGGACCGAAUCUGGACAAAACGGACGUCCGUUUGGGAUCGCGCGGUGGAGUUCCUCACGCUUCCGGAAAUGGGCGUGGAGCGUUGCACAUGGCCUGCCGAGAAGAUAGAUAGCUACGUAGUGCUAGCUAGCUAGCAAGUUCAACAAUCAAUCAAAUCAGUAUCAGAUACAGGAAGUGCUAUAAUCAGCUCCUCUCACCUAAUAUUCAGGCACACGCGCGCUAUCGGUCACUCCGGCGUAAAGAUUGGACCGUAGGUUCAACGGAGAGGCGCCAACAAACCCAACACCUCCACACCAGUCCACUUCACUCCACUCCCCUAUCCUUGCUCAAAAAAUAUCCAUUCUCGGCGCUUUCUUCCAGGACGUUUGCUGGUGCAUGUGACGUUUCACGCAUCUGGAAACAGGCACAUGGCGCUUUCCUACGUAUUAGCAAGUACAAAUGACAAAAUUAAUUUAUGUACAUAACUACAUAAUACUAUGCAAUGUGAGUUUCGGUGUUAUAAUACUACUUAUCUUGCUAACAUGUGGCCUCUAUACCUUUUCUUUUGAGAAACUGCAUCCUUUAUUAAAGUUCAAACAUUCAUGUGUUUUUUUUUGAGAAAAGUUCAAACAUUCAUGGUGACACAGAUAAUGUUGGGCAAAAGGGAGAACCACACAUGACUCACAAAAGGAAUGGAAGAAGUUGCCUUUGCAAGGGAAUGAGCUUCCCCAUUAUAUUCCCGCUUCUCGUGGAUGAACUUGAGAGCUUGAAACGAGCCACACACAACAAUGGUUAAUUUUCCAAAGGCACUACUAGGAAAAGGGCUAUAGAUAGGAUUGAUACUAAUGGCGCAUCAUGGAAAUAGUGCGCCACUAUUAUAUACUAAUGGCGCACCUGUUGGUGAUGCGCCGUUAGUGUGGAAGACACUAAUGGCGCACCAGAAACAGGGUGCGCCAUUAGUAUUAAUUUUUUUUCCAUUUUCCAUACAUACUAAUGGCGCAUCAGGUCGAACUGCGCCAUUACUAGUUCUAACUAGUAAUGGCGCACUACCACGCGGUGCGCCAUUAGUAAGCUUCCCCCUCACUCCACCUGUUCCCCUCCUUCCCUUCCUCCCAGCCCACUCGACCUAAUUUGCCCCCUCCGCCCCAACCGUACGCCCCCGCCGCCGCCGCCCCCUCCGUCCCCUCCGUCCCCUGCCGCCGCCGCCCCGACCCCCGCCGGAAUNNNNNNNNNNNNNNNNNNNNNNNNNNNNNNNNNNNNNNNNNNNNNNNNNNNNNNNNNNNNNNNNNNNNNNNNNNNNNNNNNNNNNNNNNNNNNNNNNNNNNNNNNNNNNNNNNNNNNNNNNNNNNNNNNNNNNNNNNNNNNNNNNNNNNNNNNNNNNNNNNNNNNNNNNNNNNNNNNNNNNNNNNNNNNNNNNNNNNNNNNNNNNNNNNNNNNNNNNNNNNNNNNNNNNNNNNNNNNNNNNNNNNNNNNNNNNNNNNNNNNNUCCCUCCCCUUCCGCCGCGCCCUCCGCCUCCCCACUGUCCUAGCACCCACGGCGACGACACGAGGCCUCGCGCCCCCGCACCGCCGCAGCCCCGUCGUCUCUGCUCCGGCUUCGGGCCUCCUCCCCUCUCCAGAUGGAGCGCUGCCGGACCUCCGCCCGGCCGCCGCAGCCGCAGCCCGCUCCCGCCUCGGCUCAAACCCCAGGUGCGGCGCCGAUCCACCCGCCAACUCACUAGCCUGCUCUGGCUUCGGGCCUCCUCCCCUCUCUAGAUGGAGCGCUGACGGACCUCCGCCCGGCCGCCGCAGCCGCAGCCCGAUCCCGCCCCGGCCCCAACCCCAGGUGCGGCGCCGCUCCACCCGCCCCGACCCCGGCUGAGGGGCCUCCUCUUUGACGUCCGGGCCAAGAUCGACGCGGAGGCCGCGGCGCCUUCCCGUUCCAGAAGCAGUGCAGCGUCGGCUCCGUGGCGUGCACCGACCCGACCCUCUGCUUCAACAAUGGCAACUCUGAGGUCGGUGGCGCCUGUUGGGAGGACAACUCCGAGACGGCGUCUGCAGACUGCAGGUUCGGUGAAGAUGGCAAUUGCAAUGGCAAUGGCGGUGCGUCGCGGGAGGUCGAUGCUUCGGAACAACCGGUGCGUUCCAGGGAUGUCGUUGAGCUCUGCUUCCCUAGCUGAAUCCAUGAAUGUGGUCAGUGAUUAUUUGGGGUUUUUGCUUCGGUAGUUCUUGCAUGGGAGUUGUUUUACAUUUUUGGUGAAAAUACACUCUCAUGGAACGAAAGGGCAAUCAGUGAGUACAACUGAUAUGAUGUUCUUAUGUCUUGAUACUAUGCUUACUCAUAUAAUAGCAAUAGAAGGAGGUUAAUAGUUAUGCUCAGGAGGAUGUUUUCUGGUACAAAAUUGUAAUGCCAAUAUGCGCUUGAUCUCUGGUUUGGAUUCGUGAGUAUUCAGGCAAUCGGAUGGGACCAUGAUACAGAUAAAAAAAUGCACCGUCUUCGGCUCUUUCUCGCUGUUCAAUAUCAAUUUCUUAGUUAACUUGAGCAUCGAUUCAGAAAAAUUCUUCCACACAUAACCUGAUGAUAUAAGCCUCAACCAAAACUGAAGUAGCAGCAAUUGGUACCGAUAGCUAGCUAGCUUGACUGGAUUAUGUGCUUAAUUCACUGAGUUUGGUUGGUGAAGAUGAAUUAGCAGCUCCCCCAUGUAGCUAGAAUUGGUAUGAUUUCUAUGGAGAAUGACCAAUUCAGCUUCUUACCCCUAAAAAAAAUCAGCUUCUUUAAAACUGACAGCAGGUUCCUCCCAUGUUUCACUUUUUUCUAGUUAGUUUCUUCCAGCUAUAGGUUAGUUUACAGCUAGAAUUAUGUAUUUCAACCAUUUAUAUGUUUAGUUUCCAGCUAUAGGUUAGUUUACAUCUAUUUGCUGCUAAUACAACAUAAUAUUUGAUAUGAGCAGGGUGAACAACCUUCAGGUCCCGGGAAUCUACUCAAGGCUGCAGACACUUCUUGUCUCACUUCUUUUAUCAUCGGUAUAAUAUUCAUAUUAAGGAGUUUCUAUAAGUUCAUUGUUCUUACCUGCAAAUUUCAAAUGAAAGCACAAUCAAUCCAUAUUAAGUGCUCAUCCUAGUGGUAGGCAAAAUAAUUAGGGGAGUGUGUCAUUCUUGCUAUGGUCAUGUAAGAGAAAUGCUCUGCCUUGCUAAUUUUACCAUGAGAUUUGGGGUAAUCAGCUAGUUCUGGUCAAAGCAAGUGGUUUUCCUGAGCUAUGCCUUGGUUAGAAAAUGAUGCAUGAUGGGCAUCAUGCAUGUUAUCAUGCACGUUUCAUGAUCUGUUGUAAGGGUACUAAUUGGUCUCUUCUGCUGCUUAUCAUAGAUGGCGGGCAGCAGCCACCCCCUCUGCGACACCGCAGUACAAGUUGGAUGCUUCCGAGUUCUUCACUAUCAUACUUGAGACUUCAGUAUCAUCCAUGACGCAGGUAUAUAAAACGAGAGAUCUCCCCUUCACCCAUCUCAUUAUGAUAUCUGCUAUUUGCUACAUCAUGAAGGAAAUAUGCCCUAGAGGCAAUAAUAAAGUUAUUAUUUAUUUCCUCAUAUGAUGAUAAAUGUUUAUUAUUCAUGCUAGAAUUGUAUUAACCGGAAACAUGAUACAUGUGUGAAUACAUAGACAAACAUAUAGUCACUAGUAUGCCUCUACUUGACUAGCUCAUUAAUCAAAGAUGGUUAUGUUUCCUAACCAUAGACAUGUGUUGUCAUUUGAUUAAUGGGAUCACAUCAUUAGGAGAAUGAUGUGAUUGACAUGACCCAUUUCGUUAGCCUAGCACUUGAUCGUUUAGUAUAUUGCUAUUGCUUUCUUCAUGACUUAUACAUGUUCCUGUAACUAUGAGAAUUAUGCAACUCCCAUUUACCGGAGGAACACUUUGGGUACUACCAAACGUCACAACGUAACUGGGUGAUUAUAAAGGAGUACUACAGGUGUCUCCGAAGGUACAUGUUGAGUUGGCGUAUUUCGAGAUUAGGUUUUGUCACUCCGAUUGUCGGAGAGGUAUCUCUGGGCCCUCUCGGUAAUGCACAUCAUUAUAAGCCUUGCAAGCAAUGUGACAAAAUGAGUUGGUUAUGGGAUGAUUCAUUACGGAACGAGUAAAGAGACUUACCGGUAACGAGAUUGAACUAGGUAUUGGAUACCGACGAUCAAAUCUCGGGCAAGUAACAUACCGAUGACAAAGGGAACAACAUAUGUUGUUAUGCGGUUUGACCGAUAAAGAUCUUCGUAGAAUAUGUAGGAACCAAUAUGGGCAUCCAGGUUCCGCUAUUGGUUAUUGACCGAGAAUAGUUCUAGGUCAUGUCUACAUAGUUCUCGAACCCGUAGGGUCCGCACGCUUAACGUUACGAUGACAAUUUUAUUAUGAGUUUAUAAGUUUUGAUGUAUCAAAGUUUGUUCGGAGUCCCGGAUGUGAUCACGGACGUAACGAGGAGUCUCGAAAUGGUCGAGACAUAAAGAUCGAUAUAUUGGAAGCCUAUAUUCGGACAUCGGAAUCGUUCGGGGUGAAAUCGGCAUUUUACCGGAGUACCGGGAGGUUACCGGAACCCCCCGGGGGGUUAUUGGGCCUACAUGGGCCUCGAGGGAGAAGAGGGAAGGAGGCAGGAGGGGGCCACACGCCCCUCCCCUUCCUAGUCCGAAUAGGACAAGGAAAGGGGGGCGCCCCCCCCCCCCUUUCCUUCCCCUCUUCCUCCUCUUUCCCCCCUUCUCCUAUUCCGACUAGGAAAGAAGGGAGUCCUACUCCCGGUGGGAGUAGGACUCCCCCCUUGGCGCGCCCUCCUUGGCCGACCGCCUCCUCCCCUUGGCUCCUUUAUAUACGGGGGCGGGGGGCACCCCAUAGACACACAAGUUGAUCUACGGAUCGUUCCUUAGCCAUGUGCGGUGCCCCCCUCCACCAUAUUCCACCUCGGUCAUAUCGUCGUGGAGUUUAGGCGAAGCCCUGCGCCGGUAGAGGAUCAUCAUCGUCACCACGCCGUCGUGCUGACGGAACUCAUCCCCGAAGCUUUGCUAGAUCGGAGCCCGGGGAUCGUCAUUGAGCUGAACGUGUGCUGAACUCGGAGGUGCCGUACGUUCGGUACUUGGAUCGGUCGAAUCGUGAAGACGUACGACUACAUCAACCGCGUUGUCAUAACGCUUCCGCUUACGGUCUACGAGGGUACAUGGACAACACUCUCUCCUCUCGUUGUUAUGCCAUCACCAUGAUCUUGCGUGUACGUAGGAAAUUUUUUGAAAUUACUACGUUCCCCAACAGUGGUAUCAGAGCCUAGGUUUUAUGUGUUGAUGUUAUAUGCAUGAGUAGAACACGAGUGAGUUGUGGGCGAUACAAGUCAUACUGCUUACCAGCAUGUCAUACUUUGGUUCGGCGGUAUUGUGAGAUGAAGCGGCCCGGACCGACAUUAUGCGUACGCUUACGCGAGACUGGUUUCACCGUUACGAGCACAUGUGCUUAAAGGUGGUUGGCGGGUGUCUGUCUCUCUCACUUUAGCUGAAUCGAGUGUGGCUACGCCCGGUCCUUGCGAAGGUUAAAACAACACCAACUUGACGAACUAUCGUUGUGGUUUUUAUGCGUAGGUAAGAACGGUUCUUGCUAAGCCCGUAGCAGCCACGUAAAAUUUGCAACAACAAAGUAGAGGACGUCUCACUAGUUUUUGCAGGGCAUGUUGUGAUGUGAUAUGGUCAAGACGUGAUGCUAUAUUUUAUUAUAUGAGAUGAUCAUGUUUUGUAACCAAAGUUAUCGGCAACUCGCAGGAGCCAUAUGGUUGUCGCUUUAUUGUAUGAAAUGCAAACGCUCUGUAAUUGCUUUACAUUAUCACUAAGCGGUAGCGAUAGUCGUAGAAGCAAUAGAUGGCGUAACGACAACGAUGCUACGAUGGAGAUCAAGGUGUCGCGUCGGUGACGAUGGUGAUCACGACGGUGCUUUGAAGAUGGAGAUCACAAGCACAAGAUGAUGAUGGCCAUAUCAUAUCACUUAUAUUGAUUGCAUGUGAAGUUUAUCCUUUAUGCAUCUUAUCUUGCUUUGAUUGACGGUAGAAUUUUAAGAUGAUCUCUCACUAAUAAUCAAGAAGUGUUCUCCCUGAGUAUGCACCAUUGCGAAAGUUCUUCGUGCUGAGACACCACAUGAUGAUCGGGUGUGAUAGGCUCUACGUUCAAAUACAACAGGUGCAAAACAGUUGCACACGCGGAAUACUCAGGUCAUACUUGACGAGCCUAGCAUAUACAGAUAUGGCCUCGGAACACGGAGACCGAAAGGUUGAACGUGAAUCAUAUAGUAGAUAUGAUCAACAUAGUGAUGUUCACCAUUGAAACUACUCCGUCUCACGUGAUGAUCGGACAUGGUUUAGUUGAUUUGGAUCACGUGAUCACUUAGAUGACUAGAGAGAUGUCCGUCUAAGUGGGAGUUCUUAAGUAAUAUGAUUAAUUGAACUUAAAUUUAUCAUGAACUUAGUACCAGAUAGUAUUUUGCUUGUCUAUGUUUGUUUGUAGAUAGAUGGCUCGUGUUGUUGUUCCGUUGAAUUUUAAUGCGUUCCUUGAGAAAGCAAAGUUGAAAGAUGAUGGUAGCAAUUACACGGACUGGGUCCGUAACCUAAGGAUUAUCCUCAUUGCUGCACAAAAAAGUUACGUCCUGGAAGCACCGCUGGGUGCCAGGCCUGCUGCUGAUGCAACUGACGACGUUAAGAACGUCUGGCAGAGCAAAGCUGAUGACUACUCGAUAGUUCAUGAAGGAAAUAUGCCCUAGAGGCAAUAAUAUAGUUAUUAUUUAUUUCCUUAUUUCAUGAUAAAUGUUUAUUAUUCAUGCUAGAAUUGUAUUAACCGGAAACAUGAUACAUGUGUGAAUACAUAGACAAACAUAUAGUCACUAAUAUGCCUCUACUUGACUAGCUCAUUAAUCAAAGAUGGUUAUGUUUCCUAACCAUAGACAUGUGUUGUCAUUUGAUUAAUGGGAUCACAUCAUUAGGAGAAUGAUGUGAUUGACAUGACCCAUUCCGUUAGCCUAGCACUUGAUCGUUUAGUAUGUUGCUAUUGCUUUCUUUAUGACUUAUACAUGUUCCUGUAACUAUGAGAUUAUGCAACUCCCGUUUACCAGAAGAACACUUUGGGUGCUACCAAACGUCACAACGUAACUGGGUGAUUAUAAAGGAGUACUACAGGUGUCUCCAAAGGUACAUGUUGGGUUGGCGUAUUUCGAGAUUAGGUUUUGCACUCCGAUUGUCGGAGAGGUAUCUCUGGGCCCUCUCGGUAAUGCACAUCACUAUAAGCCUUGCAAGCAAUAUAGCUAAUGAGUUAGUUACGGAAUGAUGCAUUACGUAACGAGUAAAGAGACUUGCCGGUACCGAGAUUGAACUAGGUAUUGGAUACCGACGAUCGAAUCUCGGGCAAGUAACAUAUCGAUGAAAAAGGGAGCAAAGUAUGUUGUUAUGCGGUUUGACCGAUAAAGAUCUUCUUAGAAUAUGUAGGAGCCAAUAUGGGCAUCCUGGUUCCGCUAUUGGUUAUUGACCCAGAAUAGUUCUAGGUCAUGUCUACAUAGUUCUCGAACCCGUAGGGUCCGCACGCUUAAGGUUUCGAUGACAGUUAUAUUAUGAGUUUAUGAGUUUUGAUGUACCAAAGGAGUUCGAAGUCCUGGAUGAGAUCGGGGACAUGACGAGGAGUCUCGAAAUGGUCGAAACGUAAAGAUCGAUAUAUUGGACGACUAUAUUCGGAGUUCGGAAAGGUUCCGUGUGAUUCGGUUAUUUUUCGGAGUACCGGAGAGUUACGGGAAUUCGCCGGGGAGUAUAUGGGCCUUAUUGGGCCAUACGGGAAUAGAGGAGAGAGGCCGAAAGGAAGGAGGCGCGCAGCCCCCCUCUGGUCCGAAUUGGACAAGGGGUGCGGCCCCCUUUUCCUUCCUCCUCUCCCCCUCUUUCCCCCUUCUCCUACUCCAACAAGGAAGGAGGGAGUCCUAUUCCCGGUGGGAGUAGGACUCCCCUUGGCGCGCCCCUUCUAGGCCGGCCGCCCCCUCCCCCCCUUGAUCCUUUAUACACGGGGGCAGGGGGGCACCUCUAGGCACAACAACACAAGUUGAUCUACGGAUCGUUCCUUAGCCGUGUGCGGUGCCCCCCUCCACCAUAUUCCACCUCGGUCAUAUCGUCGCGGUGUUUAGGCGAAGCCCUGCGCCGAUAGAGCAUCAUCAUCGUCACCACGCCGUCGUGCUGACGGAACUCAUCCCCGACACUUUGCUGGAUCGGAGUCCGGGGAUCGUCAUCGAGCUAAACGUGUGCUGAACUCGGAGGUGUCGUACGUUCGGCACUUGGAUCGGUCGGAUCGUGAAGACGUACGACUACAUCAACCGUGUUGUCAUAACGCUUCCGCUUACGGUCUACGAGGGUACGUGGACAACACUCUCUCCUCUUGUUGCUAUGCCAUCACCAUGAUCUUGCGUGUACGUAGGAUUUUUUUUGAAAUUACUACGUUCCCCAACAGUGGCAUCCGAGCCAGGUUUUAUGCGUAGAUGUCAUAUGCACGAGUAGAACACAAGUGAGUGGUGGGUGAUACAAGUCAUACUGCUUACCAGCAUGUCAUACUUUGGUUCGGCGGUAUUGUGAGAUGAAGCGGCCCGGACCGACAUUACGUGUACGCUUACGCGAGACUGGUUUCAUCGUUACGAGCACUCGUGCUUAAAGGUGGCUGGCGGGUGUCUGUCUCUCUCACUUUAGCUGAAUCGAGUGUGGCUACGCCCGGUCUUUGCGAAGGUUAAAACAACACUAACUUGACGAACUAUCGUUGUGGUUUUGAUGCGUAGGUAAGAACGGUUCUUGCUAAGCCCGUAGCAGCCACGUAAAAUCUGCAACAACAAAGUAGAGGACGUCUAACUUGUUUUUGCAGGGCAUGUUGUGAUGUGAUAUGGUCAAGACGUGAUGAGAUAUAAGUUGUUGUAUGAGAUUAUCAUGUUUUGUUGAAGUUAUCGGCAACUGGCAGAAGCCCUAUGGUUGUCUCUUUGUUGCAUAAGAUGCAAGUGCCAAAUAAUUGCUUUACUUUAUCGCUAUGCGAUAGCAAUAGUUGCAAGAGCAAUAGUUGGCGAGACGACCAUGUAACGACACAUUGAUAUAGAUCAAGAUGAUGAAGAUCAUGGUGUCGUGCCGGUAACGAUAGAGAUCAUGACAGUACUUUGGAGAUGGAGAUCAAAGGCGCAAGAUGAUCAUGGCCAUAUCAUGUCACAUAUUUUGAUUGCAUAUGAUGUUUAUCUGUUAUACAUCUUAUUCUGUUUUGUUUGACAGUAGCAUUUUAAGAUGAUCUCUCACUAAUUAUCAAGAAGUGUUCUCCCUGAGUAUGCACCAUUGCGAAAGUUCUUCGUGCUGAGACACCACGUGAUGAUCGGGUGUGAUAGGCUUUACUUUCAAAUACAACGGGUGCAAAACAGUUGCACACGCGGAAUACUGAGGUUAAACUUGACGAGCCUAGCAUAUACAGAUAUGGCCUCGGAACACGGAGACCGAAAGGUCGAGCGUGAAUCAUAUAGUAGAUAUGAUCAACAUAUUGAUAUUCACCGUUGAAACUACUCCAUCUCACGUGACGAUCGGACAUGGUGUAGUUGAUAUGGAUCAUGUAAUCACUUAGAGGAUUAGAGGGAUGUCUAUCUAAGUGGGAGUUCUUAAGUAAUAUGAUUAAUUGAACUUAAAUUUAUCAUGAACUUAGUCCUGGUAGUAUUUUGCAAAUUAUGUUGUAGAUCAAUAGCUUGCGUUGUUGCUUUCAUAUGUUUAUUUUGAUAUGUUCCUAGAGAAAAUUGUGUUGAAAGAUGUUAGUAGCAAUGAUGCGGAUUGGAUCCGUGAUCUGAGGUUUAUCCUCAUUGCUGCACAGAAGAAUUAUGUCCUUAAUGCACCGCUAGGUGACGGACCUAUUGCAGGAGCAGACGCAAACGUUAUGAACGUUUGGCUAGCUCAAUAUGAUUACUACUUGAUAGUUUAGUGCACCAUGAUUAAUGGCUUAGAAUCGGGACUUCAAAGAUGUUUUGAACGUCAUGGACCAUAUGAGAUGUUCCAGGAAUUGAAGUUAAUAUUUCAAGCAAAUACCCGAGUUGAGAGAUAUGAAGUCUCCAACAAGUUCUAUAGCUAAAAGAUGGAGGAGAAUCGCUCAACUAGUAAGCAUGUGCUCAGAUUGUCUGGGUACUUCAAUCACUUGAAUCAAGUGGGAGUUAAUCUUCCAGAUAAGAUAGUGAUUGACAGAAUUCUCUAGUCACCAUCACUAAGUUACUAGAACUUUGUGAUGAACUAUAGUAUGCAAGGGAUGACGAAAACAAUUCCCGAGCUCUUCGUGAUGUUGAAAUCGAUGAACGUAGAAAUCAAGAAAGAGCAUCAAGUGUUGAUGAUUGACAAGACCACUAGUUUCAAGAAAAGGGCAAAGGGAAAGAAAGGGAACUUCAAGUAGAAUGACAAGCAAGUUGUCACUCCCACGAAGAAGCCCAAAGCUGAACCAAAGCCUGAAACUGAGUGCUUACACUGCAAAGGAAAUGGUCACUGGAAGCCGAAAUGCCCUAAAUAUUUGGUGGAUAAGAAGGAUGGCAAAGUGAACAAGGGUAUAUUUGAUAUACAGGUUAUUGAUAUGUGCUUUACUAGUGUUUAUAGUAACCCCUGAGUAUUUGAUACUUGUUCAGUUGCUAAGAUUAGUAACUCGAAACAGGAGUUACAGAAUAAACAGAAACUAGUUGAGGGUGAAGUGAUGAUGUGUGUUGGAAGUGGUUCCAAGAUUGAUAUGAUCAUCAUCGCACACUCCCUAUACUUUCGGGAUUAGUGUUAAACCUAAAUAAAUGUUAUUUGGCGUUUGCAUUGAGCAUGAAUAUGAUUUGAUCAUGUUCAUUGCAAUACGGUUAUUCAUUUAAAGUCAAAGAAUAAUUGUUGUUCUGUUUACAUGAAUAAAACCUUCAAAUGGUCAUACACCCAAUGAAAUUGGUUGUUGGAUCUCGAUCGUAGUGAUACACAUAUUCAUAAUAUUGAUGCCAAAAGAUGCAAAGUUAAUAAUGAUAGUGCAACUUAUUUGUGGCACUGCCGUUUGGGUCAUAUUGGUGUAAAGCGCAUGAAGAAACUCCAUAAAGAUGGAUUUUCGUAAUCACUUGGUUAUGAAUCAUUUGAUGCUUGCGAACCAUGCCUUUUGGGCAAGAUGACUAAAAACUCCGUUCUCCGGAACAAUGGAACGAGCUAGUGACUUAUUGGAAAUAAUACAUACCGAUGUAUGCGGUCCAAUGAGUGUUGAUGCUCGUGGCGUGUAUCGUUAUUUUCUGAUCUUCACAAAAUGAAUUGAGUAGAUAUGAGUAUAUCUACUUAAUGAAGCACAAGUCUGAAACAUUUGAAAAGUUCAAAGAAUUUCAGAGUGAAGUGGAGAAUCAUCGUAACAAGAAAAUUAAGUUUCUGCAAUUUGAUCACGGAGACAAAUAUUUGAGUUAUGAGUUUGGUCUUCAAUUAAAAUAAUGUGGAAUAGUUUCACAAACUCAUGCCACCUGGAACACCACAGCUUAAUGGUGUGUCCGAACGUCAUAACAAGUACUUUAUUGGAUAUAGUGCAAUCUAUGAUGUCUCUUACCUAUUUACCACUAUCGUUUUGGGGUUAUGCAUUAGAGACAGCUGCAUUCACGUUUAAUAGGGCUCCAUCUGAAUCCGUUGAGACGACACGGUAUGAACUAUGGUUUAGCGGUAAACCUAAGUUAUCGUUUCUUAAAGUUUGGAGUUGCGAUGCUCAUGUGAAAAAGUUUCAACCUGAUAAGAUUGAACCCAAAUCGAAGAAGUGCGUCUUCAUAGAAUACCCAAAGGAAACUGUUGGGUACACCUUCUAUCACAGAUCCGAAGGAAAAUUAUUCGUUGCUAAGAUGGAUCCUUUCUAGAGAAGAAGUUUCUCUCGACAGAAGUGAGUGGGAGGAAAGUAGAACUUGAUGAGGUAACUGUACCUACUCCCUCAUUCGAAAGUAGUUCAUCACAGAAAUCUGUUCCUGUGACUACUACACCAAUUAGUGAGGAAGUUAAUGAUGAUGAUCAUGAAACUUCAGAUUAAGUUACUACAGAAUCUCGUAGGUCUUACAGAGUAAGAUCCGCACCAGAGUGGUACGGUAAUCCUGUUCUGGAAGUUAUGUUACUAGACCAUGACGAACCUACGAACUAUGAAGAAGCGAUGGUGAGCCCAGAUUCCGCAAAAUGGCUUGAGCCAUGAAAUCUGAGAUAAGAUCCAUGUAUGAAAACAAAGUAUGGACUUUGAUUGACUUGCCCAAUGAUCGGCGAGACAUUGAGAUUAAAUGGAUCUUCAAGAGGAAGAUGGACGCUGAUAGUGUUACUAUCUACAAAGCUAGAAUUGUCGCAAAAGGUUUUCGACAAGUUCAAGGUGUUGACUACGAUGAGAGUUUUUCACUCGUAUCUAUGCUUAAGUCUGUCUGAAUCAUGUUAGCAAUUGCCACAUUUCAUGAAAUCUGGCAAAUGGAUAAACAAAACUGCAUUCCUUAAUGGUUUUCUUAAAGAAGUGUUGUAUAUAAUGCAACCAGAAGGUUUUGUCAAUCCUAAAGGUGCUAACAAAUUGUGCAAGCUCCAGGGUUCCAUCUAUGGACUGGUGCAAGCAUCUCGGAGUUGGAAUAUAUGCUUUGAUGAGUUGAUCAAAGCAUAUGGUUUUAUACAGAAUUUUGAAGAAGCCUGUAUUUACAAGAAAGUGAGUGGGAGCUCUGUAGCAUUUCUAAUAUUAUAUGUGGAUGACAUAUUGUUAAUUGGAAAUGAUAUGGAAAUUCUGGAUAGCAUGAAAGGAUACUUGAAUAAGAGUUUUUCAAAGCAAGAUCUCGAUGAAGCUGCUUACACAUUGAGCAUCAAGAUCUAUAUAGAUAGAUCAAGACGCUUGAUAAGAUUUUUCAAUGAGUACAUACCUUGAUAAAUUUUUGAAAUAGUUCAAAAUGGAACAGUCAAAGAAGGAGUUCUUGCAUGUGUUACAAGGUGUGAAGUUGAGUAAGACUCAUGACCCGGCCAUUGCAGAAAAUAGAAAGAGAAUGAAAAGUCAUUCCCUAUGCCUCAGUCAUAGGUUCUAUAAAGUAUGCUAUGCUGUGAACCAGACCUAUUGUAUACCUUGCUCUGUGUUUGGCAAAGGAAUACAAUUUUGAUCUAAUAAGUAGAUCACUGGACAUGGGUCAAGAAUAUCCUUAGUGAGGACUAAGGAGAUGUUUCUCGAUUAUCGAGGUGAUAAAAGAGCCUGUCGUUAAUGUUACAACGAUGCAAGCUUUUACACCAAUCCAGAUGACUGUAAGUCUCAAUCUGGAUACAUAUUGAAAGUGGGAGCAAUUAGCUAGAGUAGCUCCGUGCAGAGCAUUGUGGACAUAGAAUAUUUGCGAAAUACAUACGGCUCUAAAUAUGACAGACCCGUUGACUAAGCUUCUCUCACGAGCAAAACAUGAUCAUACCUUAGUACUCUUUUGGGUGUUAAUCACAUAGCGAUGUGAACUAGAUUAUUGACUCUAGUAAACCCUUUGGGUGUUGAUCACAUGAUGAUGUGAACUAUGGGUAUUAAUCACAUGCAGAUGUGAAUAUUGAUGUUAAAUCACAUAGUGAUGUGAACUAGAUUAUUGACUCUAGUGCAAGUGUGAGACUGAAGAAAAUAUGCCCUAGAGGCAAUAAUAAAGUUAUUAUUUAUUUCCUUAUUUCAUGAUAAAUGUUUAUUAUUCAUGCUAGAAUUGUAUUAACCGGAAACAUGAUACAUGUGUGAAUACAUAGACAAACAUAUAGUCACUAGUAUGCCUCUACUUGACUAGCUCAUUAAUCAAAGAUGGUUAUGUUUCCUAACCAUAGACAUGUGUUGUCAUUUGAUUAAUGGGAUCACAUCAUUAGGAGAAUGAUGUGAUUGACAUGACCCAUUCCGUUAGCCUACCACUUGAUCGUUUAGUAUGUUGCUAUUGCUUUCUUCAUGACUUAUACAUGUUCCUGUAACUAUGAGAUUAUGCAACUCCCGUUUACCGAAGGAACAUUUUGGGUGCUACCAAACAUCACAACGUAACUGGGUGAUUAUAAAGGAGUACUACAGGUGUCUCCAAAGGUACAUGUUGGGUUGGCGUAUUUCGAGAUUAGGUUUUGUCACUCUGAUUGUCGGAGAGGUAUCUCUGGGCCCUCUCGGUAAUGCACAUCACUAUAAGCCUUGCAAGCAAUGUAGCUAAUGAGUUUUUUACGGAAUGAUGCAUUACGUAACGAGUAAAGAGACUUGCCGGUAACGAGAUUGAACUAGGUAUUGGAUACCGACGAUCGAGUCUCGGGCAAGUAACAUACCGAUGACAAAGGGAGCAAAAUAUGUUGUUAUGCGGUUUGACCGAUAAAGAUCUUCGUAGAAUAUGUAGGAACCAAUAUGGGCAUCCAGGUUCCGCUAUUGGUUAUUGACCAAGAAUAGUUCUAGGUCAUGUCUACAUAGUUCUCGAACCCGUAGGGUCCACACGCUUAAGGUUUCGAUGACAGUUAUAUUAUGAGUUUAUGAGUUUUGAUGUACCAAAGGAGUUUGGAGUCCCGGAUGAGAUCGGAACAUGACGAGGAGUCUCGAAAUGGUCGAGACGUAAAGAUCGAUAUAUUGGACGACUAUAUUCGGAGUUCGGAAAGGUUCCGAGUGAUUCGGGUAUUUUUCGGAGUACCGGAGAGUUACGGGAAUUCGCCGGGGAGUAUAUGGGCCUUAUUGGGCCAUACGGGAAUAGAGGAGAGAGGCCGAAAGGAAGGAGGCGUGCAGCCCCCCUCUGGUCCGAAUUGGACAAGGGGUGCGGCCCCCUUUUCCUUCCUCCUCUCCCCCUCUUUCCCCCUUCUCCUACUCCAACAAGGAAGGAGGGAGUCCUACUCCCGGUGGGAGUAGGACUCCCCUUGGCGCGCCCCUCCUAGGCCGGCCGCCCCCUCCCCCCGUUGCUCCUUUAUAUACGGGGGCAGGAGGGCACCUCUAGGCACAACAACACAAGUUGAUCUACGGAUCAUUCCUUAGCCGUGUGCGGUGCCCCCCUCCACCAUAUUCCACCUCGGUCAUAUCGUCGCGGUGUUUAGGCGAAGCCCUGCGCCGGUAGAGCAUCAUCAUCGUCACCACGCCGUCGUGCUGACGGAACUCAUCCCCGACACUUUGCUGGAUCGGAGUCCAGGGAUCGUCAUCGAGCUGAACGUGUGCUGAACUCGGAGGUGCCGUACGUUCGGUACUUGGAUCGGUCGGAUCGUGAAGACGUACGACUACAUCAACCGCGUUGUCAUAACGCUUCUGCUUACGGUCUACGAGGGUACGUGGACAACACCCUCUCCUCUCGUUGCUAUGCCAUCACCAUGAUCUUGCGUGUACGUAGGAUUUUUUUUGAAAUUACUACGUUCCCCAACAGUUCAGUGUGCCAUGCUUUACGGCUUAGAGCCGGGUCUUCAACGAUGUUUUGAACGUCAUGGAGCAUAUGAGAUGUUCCAGGAGUUGAAGUUAAUAUUUCAAGCAAAUGCCCGGAUUGAGAGAUAUGAAGUCUCCAAUAAGUUCUAUAGCUGCAAGAUGGAGGAGAAUAGUUCUGUCAGUGAACAUAUACUCAAAAUGUCUGGGUAUAAUAAUCACUUGAUUCAACUGGGAGUUAAUCUUCCUGAUGAUAGUGUCAUUGACAGAAUUCUUCAAUCACUGCCACCAAGCUACAAGUGCUUCGUGAUGAACUAUAAUAUGCAAGGGAUGAACAAGACUAUUCCCGAGCUCUUCGCGAUGCUAAAAGCCGUGGAGGUAGAAAUCAAGAAGGAGCAUCAAGUGUUGAUGGUUAACAAGACCACCAGUUUCAAGAAAAAGGGCAAAGGGAAGAAGAAGGGGAACUUCAAAAAGAACAGCAAGCAAGUUGCAGCUCAAGAGAAGAAACGCAAGUCUGGACCUAAGCCUGAAACUGAGUGCUUCUACUGCAAGCAAACUGGACACUGGAAGCGGGACUGCCCCAAGUAUUUGGCGGAUAAGAAGGAUGGCAAAGUGAACAAAGGUAUAUGUGAUAUACAUGUUAUUGAUGUGUACCUUACUAAUGCUCGCAGUAGCACCUGGGUAUUUGAUACUGGUUCUGUUGCUAAUAUUUGCAACUCGAAACAGGGACUACAGAUUAAGCGAAGAUUGGCUAAGGACGAGGUGACGAUGCGCGUGGGAAAUGGUUCCAAAGUCGAUGUGAUCGCGGUCGGCACGCUACCUCUACAUCUACCAUCGGGAUUAGUUUUAGACCUAAAUAAUUGUUAUUUGGUGCCAGCGUUGAGCAUGAACAUUAUAUCUGGAUCUUGUUUGAUGUGAGACGGUUAUUCAUUUAAAUCAGAGAAUAAUGGUUGUUCUAUUUAUAUGAGUAAUAUCUUUUAUGUUCAUGCACCCUUGAAAAGAGGUCUAUUUUUAUUGAAUCUCGAUAGUAGUAAUACACAUAUUCAUAGUGUUGAAACCAAAAGAUGUAGAGUUGAUAACGAUAGUGCAACUUAUUUGUGGCACUGAUGUUUAGGUCAUAUCGGUGUAAAGCGCAUGAAGAAACUCCAUACUGAUGGGCUUUUGGAAUCACUUGAUUAUGAAUCACUUGGUACUUGCGAACCGUGCCUCAUGGACAAGAUGACUAAAACGCCGUUCUCCGGAACUAUGAGCGAGCAACUGAUUUGUUGGAAAUCAUACAUACUGAUGUUUGUGGUCCAAUGAAUGUUGAGGCUCGCGGCGGGUAUCGUUAUUUUCUCACCUUCACAGAUGAUUUGAGCAGAUAUGGGUAUAUCUACUUGAUGAAACACAAGUCUGAAACAUUUGAAAAGUUCAAAGAAUUUCAGAGUGAAGUGGAAAAUCAUCGUAACAAGAAAAUAAAAUUUCUAUGAUCUGAUCGUGGAGGAGAAUAUUUGAGUUAUGAGUUUGGUUUACACUUGAAACAAUGCAUAAUAGUUUCGCAACUCACGCCACCCGGAACACCACAACGAAAUGGUGUGUCCGAACGUCGUAAUCGUACUUUACUAGAUAUGGUGCGAUCUAUGAUGUCUCUUACUGAUUUACCGCUAUCGUUUUGGGGUUAUGCUUUAGAGACGGUCGCAUUCACGUUAAAUAGGGCACCAUCAAAAUCCGUUGAGAUGACGCCUUAUGAACUGUGGUUUGGCAAGAAACCAAAGUUGUUGUUUCUUAAAGUUUGGGGUUGCGAUGCUUAUGUGAAGAAACUUCAACCAGAUAAGCUCGAACCCAAAUCGGAGAAAUGUGUCUUCAUAGGAUACCCAAAAGAGACUAUUGGGUACACCUUCUAUCACAGAUCUGAGGGCAAGAUUUUCGUUGCUAAAAUCGGAUCCUUUCUAGAGAAGGAGUUUCUCUCGAAAGAAGUGAGUGGGAGGAAAGUAGAACUUGAUGAGAUAACGGUGUCUACUCCCUUAUUGGAAAGUAGUUCAUCACAAGAACCGGUUCCUGUGACAACUACACCAAUUAGUGAGGAAGCUAAUGAUAUUGAUCAUGAAACUUCAGAUCAAGUUUCUACUGAACCUCGUAGGUCUACCAGAGUAAGAUUCGCACCAGAGUGGUACGGUAAUCCAAUUCUGGAAGUCAUGUUGCUUGACCAUGAUGAACCUACGAACUAUGAGGAAGCGAUGAUGAGCCCAGAUUCCGCAAAAUGGCUAGAGGCCAUGAAAUCUGAGAUGGGAUCCAUGUAUGAAAACAAAGUAUGGACUUUGGUUGACUUGCCCGAUGAUCGGCAAGCAAUUGAGAAUAAAUGGAUCUUUAAGAAGAAGACUGACGCUGAUGGUAAUGUAACUGUCUAUAAAGCUCGACUUGUUGCGAAAGGUUUUCGACAAGUUCAAGGAGUUGACUACGAUGAGACUUUCUCACUCGUAGCGAUGCUUAAGUCUGUCCGAAUCAUGUUAGCUAUUGCUGCAUUUCAUGAUUGUGAAAUUUGGCAAAUGGAUGUCAAAACUGCAUUCUUGAAUGGAUUUCUGGAAGAAUAGUUGUAUAUGAUGGAGCCAGAAGGUUUUGUUGAUCCAAAAGGUGCUAACAAAGUGUGCAAGCUUCAGCGUUCCAUUUAUGGACUGGUGCAAGCAUCUCGGAGUUGGAAUAAACGCUUUGAUAGUGUGAUCAAAUCAUAUGGUUUUAUACAGACGUUUGGAGAAGCCUGUAUUUACAAGAAAGUGAGUGGGAGCUCUGUAGCAUUUCUGAUAUUAUAUGUAGAUGACAUAUUAUUAAUUAGAAAUGAUAUAGAAUUUCUGGAUAGCAUAAAGGGAUACUUGAAUAAAAGUUUUUCAAUGAAAGACCUCGGUGAAGCUGCUUACAUAUUGGGCAUCAAGAUCUAUAGAGAUAGAUCAAGACGCUUAAUAGGACUUUCACAAAGCACAUACCUUGAUAAAAUUUUGAAAAGGUUCAAAAUGGAUCAGGAAAAGAAAGGGUUCUUGCCCGUACUACAAGGUGUGAAGUUGAGUCAAACUCAAUGCCCGACCACAGCAGAAGAUAGAGAGAAAAUGAAAGAUGUUCCCUAUGCUUCAGCCAUAGGCUCUAUCAUGUAUGCAAUGUUGUGUACCAGACAUGAUGUAUGCUUAGCAAUAAGCUUGGCAGGAAGGUACCAAAGUAAUCCAGGAGUGGAUCACUGGACAGCGGUCAAGAACAUCCUGAAAUACCUGAAAAGGACUAAGGAUAUGUUUCUCGUAUAUGGAGGUGACAAAGAGCUAGUUGUAAAUGGUUACGUCGAUGCAAGCUUUGACACUGAUCCGGACGAUUCUAAAUCGCAAACCGGAUACGUGUUUUUAUUAAACAGUGGAGCUGUAAGUUGGUGCAGUUCUAAAAAAAGCGUCGUGGCGGGAUCUACAUGUGAAGCGGAGUACAUAGCUGCUUCGGAAGCAGCAAAUGAAGGAGUCUGGAUGAAAGAGUUCAUUUCUGAUCUAGGUGUCAUACCUAGUGCAUCGGGACCAAUGAAAAUCUUCUGUGACAAUACUGGUGCAAUUGCCUUGGCAAAUGAAUCCAGAUUUCACAAGAGGACCAAGCACAUCAAGAGACGCUUCAAUUCCAUUCGGGACCAAGUCUAAGUGGGAGACAUAGAGAUUUGCAAGAUACAUACGGAUCUGAAUGUUGCAGACCCGUUGACUAAGCCACUCUCACGAGCAAAACAUGAUCAGCACCAAGACUCCAUGGGUGUUAGAAUCAUUACUUUGUAAUCUAGAUUAUUGACUCUAGUGCAAGUAGGAGACUGAAGGAAAUAUGCCCUAGAGGCAAUAAUAAAGUUAUUAUUUAUUUCCUCAUAUCAUGAUAAAUGUUUAUUAUUCAUGCUAGAAUUGUAUUAACCGGAAACAUGAUACAUGUGUGAAUACAUAGACAAACAUAUAGUCACUAGUAUGCCUCUACUUGACUAGCUCAUUAAUCAAAGAUGGUUAUGUUUCCUAACCAUAGACAUGUGUUGUCAUUUGAUUAAUGGGAUCACAUCAUUAGGAGAAUGAUGUGAUUGACAUGACCCAUUCCGUUAGCCUAGGACUUGAUCGUUUAGUAUAUUGCUAUUGCUUUCUUCAUGACUUAUACAUGUUCCUGUAACUAUGAGAAUUAUGCAACUCCCGUUUACCGGAGGAACACUUUGGGUACUACCAAACGUCACAACGUAACUGGGUGAUUAUAAAGGAGUACUGCAGGUGUCUCCGAAGGUACAUGUUGAGUUGGCAUAUUUCGAGAUUAGGUUUUGUCACUCCGAUUGUCGGAGAGGUAUCUCUGGGCCCUCUCGGUAAUGCACAUCAUUAUAAGCCUUGCAAGCAAUGUGACCAAAUGAGUUGGUUACGGGAUGAUGCAUUACGGAACGAGUAAAGAGACUUGCCGGUAACGAGAUUGAACUAGGUAUUGGAUACCGACGAUCAAAUCUCAGGCAAGUAACAUAUCGAUGACAAAGGGAACAACGUGUGUUGUUAUGCGGUUUGACUAAUAUAGAUCUUCGUAGAAUAUGUAGGAACCAAUAUGGGCAUCCAGGUUGCGCUAUUGGUUAUUGACCGAGAAUAGUUCUAUGUCAUGUAUACAUAGUUCUCGAACCCGUAGGGUCCGCACGCUUAACGUUACGAUGACAGUUUUAUUAUGAGUUUAUAAGUUUUGAUGUACCGAAGCUUGUUCGGAGUCCCGGAUGUGAUCACGGACGUAAUGAGGAGUCUCGAAAUGGUCGAGACAUAAAGAUCGAUAUAUUGGAAGCCUAUAUUUGGACAUCAGAAUCGUUCCUGGUGAAAUUGGCAUUUUACCGGAGUACCGGGAGGUUACCGGAACCCCCCGGGGGGUUAUUGGGCCUACAUCGGCCUCAAGGGAGAAGAGGGAAGGAGGCAGGAGGGGGCCGCGUGCCCCUCCCCUUCCUAGUCCGAAUAGGACAAGGGAAGGGGGGCGCCCCCCCCCUUCCUUCCCCUCUUCUGUUGGAAAUAUGCCCUAGAGGCAAUAAUAAAAGCAUUAUUAUUAUAUUUCCUUGUUCAUGAUUAUUGUCUUUUAUUCAUGCUAUAAUUGUAUUAUCCGGAAAUCGUAAUACACGUGUGAAUACAUAGACCAUAAAAUGUCCCUAGUGAGCCUCUAGUUGACUAGCUCGUUGGUCAAUAGAUAGUCAUGGUUUCCAGACUAUGGACAUUAGAUGUCAUUGACAACGGGAUCACAUCAUUAGGAGAAUGAUGUGAUGGACAAGACCCAAUCCUAAGCAUAGCACAAGAUCGUGUAGUUCGUUUUUCUAGAGCUUUUUCAAUGUAAAGUAUCUCUUCCUUAGACCAUGAGAUCGUGUAACUCCCGGAUACCGUAGGAGUGCUUUGGGUGUACCAAACGUCACAACGUAACUGGGUGACUAUAAAGGUGCACUACAGGUAUCUCCGAAAGUGUCUGUUGGGUUGACACGGAUCGAGACUAGGAUUUGUCACUCCGUAUGACGGAGAGGUGUCUCUGGGCCCACUCGGUAAUGCAUCAUCAUAAUGAGCUCAAAGUGAUCAAGUGUUUGGUCACGGGAUCAUGUGUUACGGUACGAGUAAAGUGACUUGCAGGUAACGAGACUGAACGAGGUAUUGGGAUACCGACGAUCGAGUCUCGGGCUUGUAACGUACCGAUUGACAAAGGGAAUACUAUACGGGGUUGCUUGAAUCCUCGACAUCGUGGUUCAUCUGAUGACAUCAUCGAGGAGCAUGUGGGAGCCAACAUGGGUAUCCAGAUCCCGCUGUUGGUUAUUGAUCUGAGAGCCGUCUCGGUCAUGUCUGCGUGUCUCCCGAACCCGUAGGGUCUACACACUUAAGGUUCGGUGACGCUAGGGUUAUUAGGAAGACUUGUAUGUGAUUACCGAAUGUUGUUCGGAGUCCCGGAUGAGAUCCCGGACGUCACGACGAGUUCCGGAAUGGUCCGGAGGUAAAGAUUUAUAUAUGGGAAACUGUCAUACGGACAUCGGAAGGUUUCGGGGGCAUAUUGGUAUUGUACCGGGGCCACUAGAAGGGUUCCGGGGGUCCAGCGGGAGGGACCACCCCUCCCGGGGGGCCACAUGGGCUGCGUGGGGCAGGAGCCAGCCCCUGGAGGGCUGGGCGCCCCCCCCUUGGGCCCAUGCGCCUAGGGUUGGGGGGAACCCUAGAGGGGGCGCCCCCCUUGCUUGGGGGGCAAGCUCCCCCUCCCUGGCCGCCGCCCCCCCUCUAGAUCCCAUCUAGAGGGGCCGGCCCCCCUUGCCCCUUCCCCUAUAAAUAGAGGGGUGAGGGGAGGGCUGCAUACACAAGCCAAGGCGCAGCCCCUCCCCUCCCCAACACCUCUCCUCCUCCGUACGUGCUUGGCGAAGCCCUGUCGGAGCACUGCUACACCAACAACACCACGCCGUCGUGCUGCCGUUGGAGCUGUCUUCCUCAACCUCUCCUUCCCCCUUGCUGGAUCAAGAAGGAGGAGACGUCAUCCGCUCCGUACGUGUGUUGAACGCGGAGGUGCCGUCCGUUCGGUGCUAGGAUCUCCGGUGAUAGGAUCACAACGAGAACGACUACUUCAACCCCGUUCUUUUGAACGCUUCCGCUCGCGAUCUACAAAGUGGUAUGUAGAUGCAUCUCCCAUGACUCGUUGCUUAGAUGAACUCAUAGAUGGAUCUUGGUGAAACCGUAGGAAAAUUUUAAUUUUCUGCAACGUUCCCCAACAGUGGCAUCAUGAGCUAGGUCUAUGCGUAGUUCUCUAUUGCACGAGUAGAACACAAUUUAGUUGUGGGCGUAUAUUUUGUCAACUUGCUUGCCACUACUAGUCUUAUCUUGCUUCAGCGGUAUUGUGGGAUGAAGCGGCCCGGACCAACCUUACACGUACACUUACGUGAGACCGGUUCCACCGACUAACAUGCACUACUUGCAUAAGGUGGCUGGCGGGUGUCUGUCUCUCCCACUUUAGUUGAAGCGGAUUCGAUGAAAAGGGUCCUUAUGAAGGGUAAAUAGAAAUUGACAAGAUCACGUUGUGGUUAUUCGUAGGUAAGAAAACGUUCUUGCUAGAACCCAAUUGCAACCACAUAAAAGAUGCAACAACAAUUAGAGGACGUCUAACUUGUUUUUGCAGCAAUUGUCAUGUGAUGUGAUAUGGCUAGAAGUUGUGAUGAAUGAUGAAUGAUAUAUUGUGAUGUAUGAGAUCAUGUUCUUGUAAUAGGAAUCACGACUUGCAUGUUGAUGAGUAUGACAACCGGCAGGAGCCAUAGGAGUUGUCUUUAUUUUUGUAUGACCUGCGUGUCAUUGAAGAACGCCAUGUAAAUUACUUUACUUUGUUGCUAAACGCGUUAGCCAUAGAAGUAGAAGUAUUCGUUGGCGUGACAACUUCAUGAAGACACGAUGAUGGAGAUCAUGAUGAUGGAGAUCAUGGUGUCAUGCCGGUGACGAAGAUGACCAUGGAGCCCCGAAGAUGGAGAUCGAAGGAGCUAUAUGAUAUUGGCCAUAUCAUAUCACUAUUAUAUAAUUGCAUGUGAUGUUUAUUAUGUUUAUGCAUCUUGUUUACUUAGAACGACGGUAGUAAAUAAGAUGAUCCCUUACAAAAUUUCAAGAAGUGUUCUCCCCUAACUGUGCACCAUUGCUAAAGUUCGUCGUUUCGAAGCACCACGUGAUGAUCGGGUGUGAUAGAUCCUUACGUUCACAUACAACGGGUGUAAGACAGUUUUACACAUGCAAAACACUUAGGGUUAACUUGACGAGCCUAGCAUGUACAGAUAUGGCCUCGGAACACGAAGACCGAAAGGUCGAACACGAGUCGUAUGGAAGAUACGAUCAACAUGAGAAUGUUUCACCGACGAUGACUAGUCCGUCUCACGUGAUGAUCGGACACGGCCUAGUCGACUCGGAUCGUGUAACACUUAGAUGACUAGAGGGAUGUCUAAUCUGAGUGGGAGUUCAUUAUAUUAAUUUGAUUAGAUGAACUUAAUUAUCAUGAACUUAGUCUUAAACCUUUGCAAAAUAUGUCUUGUAGAUCAAAUGGCCAACGCUCAUGUCAACAUGAACUUCAACGCGUUCCUAGAGAAAACCAAGCUGAAAGAUGAUGGCAGCAACUAUACGGACUGGGUCCGGAACCUGAGGAUCAUCCUCAUAGCUGCCAGGAAACAAUAUGUCCUAGAAGGACCGCUAGGUGACGCUCCCGUCCCAGAGAACCAAGACAUUAUGAAUGCUUGGCAGUCUCGUGCUGAUGAUUACUCCCUCGUUCAGUGCGGCAUGCUUUACAGCUUAGAACCAGGGCUCCAAAAGCGUUUUGAGCAACACGGAGCAUAUGAGAUGUUCGAGGAGCUGAAACUAGUUUUCCAAGCUCAUGCCCGGGUCGAGAGAUAUGAAGUCUCCGACAAGUUCUAUAGUUGUAAGAUGGAGGAAAAUAGUUCUGUCAGUGAGCAUAUACUCAAAAUGUCUGGGUUGCACAACCGCCUGUCCCAGCUGGACAUUAACCUCCUGGAUGAGGCGGUCAUUGACAGAAUCCUUCAGUCGCUCCCACCAAGCUACAAGAGCUUCGUAAUGAACUACAAUAUGCAGGGGAUGGUGAAGACCAUUCCUGAAGUAUUUUCAAUGCUGAAGUCGGCAGAGGUUGAAAUCAAGAAAGAACAUCAAGUGUUGAUGGUCAAUAAGACCACUAAGUUCAAGAAGGGCAAGGGUAAGUAGAACUUCAAGAAGGACGGCAAAGAUGGUGCCGCGCCCGGUAAGCCAGUUGCCGGGAAGAAGUCAAAGCAUGGACCCAAGCCUAAAACUGAGUGCUUUUAUUGCAAGGGGAAGGGCCACUGGAAGCGGAACUGCCCCAAAUACUUAGCAGACAAGAAGGCCGGCAACACUAAAGGUAUAUUUGAUAUACAUGUAAUUGAUGUGUACCUUACCAGUACUCGUAGUAACUCCUGGGUAUUUGAUACCGGUGCCGUUGCUCACAUUUGUAACUCACAGCAGGAGCUGCAGAAUAAAAGGAGACUGGCAAAGGACGAGGUGACGAUGCGCGUCGGGAAUGGUUCCAAGAUUGAUGUGAUCGCCGUCGGCACGCUACCUCUACAUUUACCUACGGGGUUAGUUUUAAACCUCAAUAAUUGUUAUUUAGUGCCAAGUUUGAGCAUGAACAUUGUAUCUGGAUCUCGUUUGAUGCGAGAUGGCUACUCAUUUAAAUCCGAGAAUAAUGGUUGUUCUAUUUAUAUGAGAGAUAUGUUUUAUGGUCAUGCCCCGAUGGUCAAUGGUUUAUUCUUAAUGAAUCUCGAACGUAAUACUACACAUAUUCAUAGUGUGAAUACCAAAAGAUGUAAAGUUGAUAACGAUAGUCCCACAUAUUUGUGGCACUGCCGCCUUGGUCACAUUGGUGUCAAGCGCAUGAAGAAGCUCCAUGCUGAUGGACUUUUAGAGUCUCUCGAUUAUGAAUCAUUUGACACAUGCGAACCAUGCCUCAUGGGCAAGAUGACCAAGACUCCGUUCUCCGGAACAAUGGAGCGAGCAACCAACUUGUUGGGAAUCCUACAUACCGAUGUGUGUGGUCUAAUGAGUGUUGAGGCUCGCGGAGGAUAUCAUUAUGUUCUCACUCUCACAGAUGACUUGAGUAGAUAUGGGUAUGUCUACUUGAUGAAACACAAGUCUGAGACCUUUGAAAAGUUCAAGGAAUUUCAGAAUGAAGUAGAGAAUCAACGUGACCGAAAGAUAAAAUUCUUACGAUUGGAUCGUGGAGGAGAAUAUUUAAGUCACGAAUUUGGUACACACUUAAGAAAAUAUGGAAUCGUUUCACAACUCACGCCGCCUGGAACACCUCAGUGUAACGGUGUGUCCGAACAUCGUAAUCACACUCUAUUGGAUAUGGUGCGAUCUAUGAUGUCUCUUACCGAUUUACCGCUAUCAUUUUGGGGAUACGCUCUAGAGACAGCUACAUUCACUUUAAAUAGGGCACCGUCUAAAUCCGUUGAGACGACACCGUAUGAAUUAUGGUUUGGGAAGAAACCUAAGCUGUCGUUUCUAAAAGUUUGGGGAUGCGAUGCUUAUGUCAAGAAACUUCAACCUGAAAAGCUCAAACCCAAGUCGGAAAAUGUGUCUUCAUAGGAUACCCUAAAGAAACCAUUGGGUAUACCUUCUACUUAAGAUCCAAGGGCAAGAUCUUUGUUGCCAAGAACGGAUCCUUUCUAGAAAAAGAGUUUCUCUCGAAAGAAGUAAGUGGGAGGAAAGUAGAACUCGAUGAAGUACUACCUCUUGAACAAGAUAGUAGUGCAGCUCAGGAAAAUGUUCCUGUGAUGCCUACUCCAACUGGAGAGGAAAUUAAUGAUGAUGAUCAAGGUACUUCUGAUCAAGUUGCUACUGAACUUCGUAGGUCCACAAGGACACGUUCCGCACCAGAGUGGUACAGCAACCCUGUCCUGGAAAUCAUGUUGUUAGACAACGGUGAACCUUCGAACUAUGAAGAAGCGAUGGCGGGCCCAGAUUCCAACAAAUGGCUUGAAGCCAUGAAAUCCGAGAUAGAAUCCAUGUAUGAAAACAAAGUAUGGACUUUGACUGACUUGCCCGAUGAUCGGCGAGCGAUAGAAAACAAAUGGAUCUUUAAGAAGAAGACGGACGCGGAUGGUAAUGUCACCAUCUAUAAAGCUCGACUUGUCGCUAAGGGUUAUCGGCAAGUUCAAGGGAUUGACUACGAUGAGACUUUCUCUCCCGUAGCAAAGCUUAAGUCCGUCCGAAUCAUGUUAGCAAUUGCCGCAUACUAUGAUUAUGAGAUAUGGCAGAUGGACGUCAAAACGGCAUUCCUUAAUGGGCAUCUUAAGGAAGAACUGUAUAUGAUGCAGCCGGAGGGUUUUGUCGAUCCUAAGAAUGCUAACAAAGUAUGCAAGCUCCAGCGAUCCAUUUAUGGGCUGGUGCAAGCAUCUCGGAGUUGGAACAUUCGCUUUGAUGAGAUGAUCAAAGCGUUUGGGUUUAUGCAGACUUACGGAGAAGCCUGCGUUUACAAGAAAGUGAGUGGGAGCUCUGUAGCAUUUCUCAUAUUAUAUGUAGAUGACAUACUCUUGAUGGGAAAUGAUAUAGAAUUCCUGUACAGCAUUAAGGCCUACUUGAAUAAGUGUUUUUCAAUGAAGGACCUUGGAGAAGCUGCUUAUAUAUUAGGCAUCAAGAUCUAUAGAGAUAGAUCGAGACGCCUCAUAGGUCUUUCACAAAGCACAUACCUUGAUAAGAUUUUGAAGAAGUUCAAAAUGGACGAGUCUAAGAAGGGGUUCUUUCCUGUAUUGCAAGGUGUGAGAUUGAGCUCGGCUCAAUGCCCGACCACGGCAAAAGAUAGAGAAGAGAUGAGCGUCAUCCCCUAUGCCUCAGCCAUAGGAUCUAUUAUGUAUGCCAUGCUGUGUACUAGACCUGAUGUAAACCUUGCCGUAAGUUUGGUAGGAAGGUACCAAAGUAAUCCCGGCAAGGAACACUGGACAACGGUCAAGAAUAUCCUGAAGUACCUGAAAAGGACAAAGGGCAUGUUUCUCAUUUAUGGAGGUGACGAAGAUCUCGCCGUAAAGGGUUACGUCGACGCAAGCUUCGACACAGAUCUGGAUGACUCUAAGUCACAAACCGGAUACGUGUAUAUGUUGAAUGGUGGAGCAGUAAGCUAGUGCAGCUGCAAGCAGAGCGUCGUGGCGGGAUCUACAUGUGAAGCGGAGUACAUGGCAGCCUCGGAGGCAGCGCAUGAAGCUAUUUGGGUGAAGGAGUUCAUCACCGACCUAGGAGUCAUACCCAAUGCGUCGGGGCCGAUCAAACUCUUCUGUGACAACACUGGAGCUAUUGCCCUUGCUAAGGAGCCCAGGUUUCCCAAGAAGACCAGGCACAUCAAGCGUCGUUUCAACUCCAUCCAUGAAAAUGUUCAAGAUGGAGACAAAGAUAUUUGCAAAGUACAUACGGAUCUGAAUGUCUCAGAUCCGUUGACUAAACCUCUCUCGCGAGCAAAACAUGAUCAACACCAGAAUUCUAUGGGUGUUCGAUUCAUCACAAUGUAACUAGAUUAUUGACUCUAGUGCAAGUGGGAGACUGUUGGAAAUAUGCCCUAGAGGCAAUAAUAAAAGCAUUAUUAUUAUAUUUCCUUGUUCAUGAUAAUUGUCUUUUAUUCAUGCUAUAACUGUAUUAUCCGGAAAUCGUAAUACACGUGUGAAUACAUAGACCAUAACAUGUCCCUAGUGAGCCUCUAGUUGACUAGCUCGUUGGUCAACAGAUAGUCAAGGUUUCCUGACUAUGGACAUUAGAUGUCAUUGACAACGGGAUCACAUCAUUAGGAGAAUGAUGUGAUGGACAAGACCCAAUCCUAAGCAUAGCACAAGAUCGUGUAGUUCGUUUUGCUAGAGCUUUUUCAAUGUCAAGUAUCUCUUCCUUAGACCAUGAGAUCGUGUAACUCCCGGAUACCGUAGGAGUGCUUUGGGUGUACCAAACGUCACAACGUAACUGGGUGACUAUAAAGGUGCACUACAGGUAUCUCCGAAAGUGUCUGUUGGGUUGACACGGAUCGAGACUUUAUUUGUCACUCCGUAUGACGGAGAGGUAUCUCUGGGCCCACUCGGUAAUGCAUCAUCAUAAUGAGCUCAAAGUGAUCAAGUGUUUGGUCACGGGAUCAUGCGUUACGGUACGAGUAAAGUGACUUGCCGGUAACGAGACUGAACGAGGUAUUGGGAUACCGACAAUCGAGUCUCGGGCUUGUAACGUACCGAUUGACAAAGGGAAUACUAUACGGGGUUGCUUGAAUCCUCGACAUUGUGGUUCAUCCGAUGACAUCAUCAAGGAGCAUGUGGGAGCCAACAUGGGUAUCCAGAUCCCGCUGUUGGUUAUUGAUCUGAGAGCCGUCUCGGUCAUGUCUGCGUGUCUCCCGAACCCGUAGGGUCUACACACUUAAGGUUCGGUGACGCUAGGGUUAUUACGAAGACUUGUAUGUGAUUACCGAAUGUUGCUCAGAGUCCCGGAUGAGAUCCCGGACGUCACGGGGAGUUCCGGAAUGGUCCGGAGGUAAAGAUUUAUAUAUGGGAAGCUGUCAUACGGACACCGGAAGGUUUCGGGGGCAUAUCGAUAUUGUACCGGGGCCACCGGAAGGGUUCCGGGGGUCCACCGGGAGGGGCCACCCCUCCCGGGGGGCCACAUGGGCUGCGUGGGGCAGGAGCCAGACCCUGGAUGGCUGGGCGCCCCCCCCCCCCCUUGGGACCAUGCGCCUAGGGUUGGGGGGGAACCCUAGAGGGGGCGCUUCCCUUGCUUGGGGGGCAAGUUCCCCCUCCCUGGCCGCCGCCCCCCCUCUAGAUCCCAUCUAGAGGGGCCGGCCCCCCUUGCCCCUUCCCCUAUAAAUAGAGGGGUGAGGGGAGGGCUGCAUACACAAGCCAAGGCGCAGCCCCUCCCCUCCCCAACACCUCUCCUCCUCCGUACGUGCUUGGCGAAGCCCUGUCGGAGUACUGCUACACCAACAACACCACGCCGUCGUGCUGCCGUUGGAGCUGUCUUCCUCAACCUCUCCUUCCCCCUUGCUGGAUCAAGAAGGAGGAGACGUCAUCCGCUCCGUACGUGUGUUGAACGUGGAGGUGCCGUCCGUUCGGCGCUAGGAUCUCCGGUGAUAGGAUCACGACGAGAACGACUACUUCAACCCCAUUCUUUUGAACGCUUCCGCUCGCGAUCUACAAAGUGGUAUGUAGAUGCAUCUCCCAUGACUCGUUGCUUAGAUGAACUCAUAGAUGGAUCUUGGUGAAACCGUAGGAAAAAUUUAAUUUUCUGCAACGUUCCCCAACAUCUUCCUCCUCUUUCCACCCUUCUCCUAUUCCAACUAGGAAAGAAGGGAGUCCUACUCCCGGUGGGAGUAGGACUCCCCCCUUGGCGCACCCUCCUUGGCCGGCCGCCUCCUCCCCCCUGGCUCCUUUAUAUACGGGGGCGGGGGGCACCCCAUAGACACACAAGUUGAUCUACGGAUCGUUCCUUAGCCGUGUGCGUGCCCCCUCCACCAUAUUCCACCUCGGUCAUAUCGUCACGGAGUUUAGGCGAAGCCCUGCGCCGGUAGAGCAUCAUCAUCGUCACCACGCCGUCGUGCUGACGGAGCUCAUCCCCGAAGCUUUGCUGGAUCGGAGCCCGGGGAUCGUCAUCGAGCUGAACGUGUGCUGAACUCGGAGGUGCCAUACGUUCGGUACUUGGAUCGGUCGGAUCGUGAAGACGUACGACUACAUCAACUGCGUUGUCAUAACGCUUCCGCUUACGGUCUACGAGGGUACGUGGACAACACUCUCUCCUCUCCUUGCUAUGCCAUCACCAUGAUCUUGCGUGUACGUAGGAAUUUUUUUGAAAUUACUACGUUCCGCAACACAUCACUCAUUGUCCCAAACUGCAGAGGCUGCCUGACAGUUUUAUGAACAUGCUGAUGGGUGAAGGUCCGCCAAAUAAUGUGAAGAUGCGACAGGCUGGCAGCGGGUUUCACAGGCAGUGGGAUGUGGAGUUGGUGAUCAAGGAGGGCCACAUGUACUUGUCUCGUGGGUGGGAGAAGUUCUACCGUGCCUACGACCUGCGGCUGGGGUACUUCCUUCUCUUUAGGUAUGACGACGACGCCACCAUGCUCAUCGUGAAGGUGUUCAACACGACUAUGUGUCACAUGCGCUACGCUGACGAUGAUGAUGCCGGUACGUUCUGCCUCUUCUUAUUCCUCUACAUUUGGCUUUGUCUCACAUCGAUUGUUAACGGUCAUUGUUGCAUUUUGGACAGGUAAUGGGAGCAGCAGCAGCGACACUGGCUACAGCCAAAGCAGCAGCGACUAUGGCUGUAGCGAAAGCAGCAACGAUUCUGGCUGUAGAGAAAGCAGCAGUGAUUUUGGCAGCAGCAUAGACAACAAGAAGGAUGAUCCGGACUGGAGUGCGGGAGAAGAGGAGCAGAGUGGGGAUGAGGAGCUGCAGGAUGACGAUGGGCAUCAGGCUGAGGAUGACCUAGCGCUGAUGGUGGCUGACCAAGGGCAAGAGAUGGUGGUGGCUGACCAUGGGCAAGAGAUGGAGGUGGCUGAGGAUGACCUAGCGAUGGUCGUGCCUGAAGGUGGCCUCGCGAUGGUGGUGGUGCCUGACAAUGACCACGCACCGGUGGUGGCGCUGGCGAUCCCAGGCGACAUGACCACACCAAUUGUGGUAGAAGACUACAUCCCACUGCCUCCACCGCCUCGCCGCUCUUGGCGCAUCAGGCUGAGGAAGGAGAAGCAGAAGAACAAUGCAUGAGAACUGAACUUUGUCAGGUAUGUCAGAUCUCCAAAAUGAUAUAUAUAUACUUAGUUACCUAUGUUAUCUUUAAUAUGCUUAGUUUCCUAUAGGUUAGCUUCAUUUUACCUAAGUUGGCUCUAAUAUGCAAACUUAGAGCUUAUAUGCUUAGUUUCCUAUAGGUUAGCUCCAAAAUAACUUAUGUUAGCACAAAAUGAUCAAGUUUACAUAAUAAGCUUAUAGUCUUUUUCUUAUUCUUCUUCUUACCCAAAAUGACAUAGGUUAGCUUCAUUUUACCUAAGUUGGCUCUAAUAUACAAACUUAGAGCUUAUAUGCUUAGUUUACUAUAGGUUAGCUCCAAAAUAACUUAUGUUAGCACAAAAUGAUCAAGUUUACAUAAUAAGCUUAUAGUCUUUUUCUUAUUCUUCUUCUUUUUUAAAAUGUCAUAGGUUAGCUUCAUUUUACCUAAGUUGGCUCUAAUAUACAAACUUAGAGCUUAUAUGCUUAGUUUCCUAUAGGUUAGCUCCAAAAUAACUUAUGUUAGCACAAAAUGAUCAAGUUUACAUAAUAAGUUUAUAGUCUUCUUCUUAUUCUUCUUUUUUUCCAAAAUUCUUCUUAUUCUUCUUCUAGUGUUCUUCUUCUUAUAGUAUUCUUCUAGUCUUCUUCUUUUUCUUCUUCUAACUUCUUGUUUAUAAUUUUGCAGAUUUGAUUUAAUUCACGGAAUCUUGCAUGGAUGGAGUGCUUCUUUUCCAUUUGUGUUUUUAUUUUGUAUCAAUGUGAAACUUUUGUGAAUUGAUGGAUAACGGUGUUGGAUGAACAAUGUGAAACUUUUGUAAUAUGUAACGAUGGAACUAUGUGUUGGCUAUGGAUGUAUAUAUGAUGCAACUUGUGUGUUGGCUAUGUAUGUAUAUAUGAUGGAACUUAUGUGUUGGCUAUGAUUGUUAUAUGGAUGCUUGUUGUAUAUAUAUGUGUUGGAUAUCUCAUAGGUGAAAUAGUGAUCUGAGAUUAAGAAAAAUAAAAUAAAAAAAUUGUUACUAAUGGCGCACUAUCAUGUGGUGCGCUAUUAGUAUAGAAUACACUAGUGGCGCACUGUGGGCAAAAUUAAUGGUGCACUGCAUGGUGCGCCAUUAGUAUACCAGAUACUAAUGGCGCACCAGUGGUGCGCCAUUAGUAAAAAAUACUAGUGGCGUGAUACUAAUGGCGCACUGGUAAUGCCCAUUAGUAGGCAAAACCAGUGCGCCAUUAAUAGGCCUUUUCCUAGUAGUGAGGAUAGCAGCGUACCAAUAGAGAGCUUCAGAAUUGAUGUUCGAGACAACUUCAGCGCAGUCUGAAGCGAUGAAAAUGGAAUGAACGUGGAGGUCAGUUGCGAGAGCCACCAUUUCGUUACACGCUUAGGCUUUGAGGGUGGACGAGGCCACUGAAAACCACCGUCGACGCACCAAGAAACUUUGCAUUUUUGCAAAGAAAAAUCAACUAUUAUAUGUUUAUUCUAGCAUAUUAUAACAAAGCACAAUUCAUGUGUAUAUUAUGUGCAAAUUUGGUCAUUAUUUUGUUUUACUUUUUAUUUUAUUUCGUGGGUAAUACCAAUGCCACUAAUUCAGUCUUACUUAAAUAACUCAAUUAUUAUUUUAAAGUUGUAUUUUUUUAAAUUUUGUUUCUUGUGAAAGGGCAGUUCCAAUGCCACCAAUUUAUUCUUUCUUAGAAAACUUCAUUAUUUUUAUUUUAUUUUAUUUUUAUUUAUUUCUUCUGAAAAGGUAAAGUGAAUUCCACUAAUUCAUUUUUAAUUAGAAAAGUUCAUUAUUUUGAUUUUAUUUUAGUUUUUUUUUCUUUAAGGAUAAUAUUAAUGCCACGCAUGGCACCCGAAAGGAAUGGAAUAAGUUGCCUUUGCAAGGGAAUGAGCUUCCCUAUUAUAUUCCCGCUUCUCAUGCAUGAACUUGAGAGCUUGAAACGAUCCACACACGACAAUGGUUAAUUUCCCGAAGGAUAGCAGCGUACUGGUAGAGAGCUUCAGAAUUGAUGUUUGAGACAACUUCAGCGCAGGCUGAAGGAAUGAAAAUGGAAUGAACGUGGAGGUCAGUUGCGAGAGCCACCAUUUCGUUACACGCUUAGGCUUUUAGGGUCGACGAGGCUACCAAAAACCGCCGCCGAUGCACAAAGAAGCUUUGCUUUUUUGAAAAAAAAAUCAAUUAUUUUAUGUUUAUUCUAGCAUAUUAUAACAAAGCGCAAUUCAUGUGUUUUAUGCACUGAAAAAAAAUAGCGCGCUAUAGCGUAUUGAGAAUUGUCUCGCUAAAUAUAUUAGUGUAUACUGUCUCGCUAAUAGCACGCUAUAACACUAUAUAGCAUGCUAAUAGCAUAUUUUAAAGUCAGCGCUAUUUUGCUGUAGCACGCUAUUUUUUUCAUUGGUUUUAUGUGCAAAAUUUGUCAUUAUUUUGUUUUACUUUUUAUUUCAUUUUGUGGGUAAUACCAAUGCCACUAAUUUAGUCUUACUUAAAUAACUUGAUUAUUUUUAAAAAAUAUUUUAAAUUUUGUUUCUUAUGAAAGGGUAGUUCCAAUGCGAGCGAUUUAUUCUUUCUUAGAAAACUUAAUUAUUUUAAUUUUAUUUUAGUUUUUUUAUUUAUUCCUUCUGAAACGGUCAUGUGAAUUCCUCUAAUUCAUUCUUUCUUAGAAAAGUCAUUAUUUCGAUUUGUUUUAGUUUUUUAUCUUUCUUCUUUAAGGAUAAUACCAAUGCUACUAAUUCAUUCUUGCUUAGAAUACUUAUUUUUGCAAAAAGUUCACUAUUAUAUGCUUAUUCUUACAUAUUAUAAACAUAUUGAUUGGCCAAAAUUGUUUUUUCAGUUUGCAUCGGUUUUGGUUAAUUGCUCCAGCUCUUUUUUGGGAUGUUAAUUGCUCGAACUAGGAUGGGAAAGCAGCAAGUUUCUGGUGGGGCGGUUGUUACAGGUUUCCUUCUUCCUUUCACCCUUCCGGAAAUGGGCCUCGAUAGUGUUGCACAUGGCCAUCAGUAGUGUUCUCACAAAAUUUCUCAUUUUCAGCCUAUGUACGUUUUCUUUUCUUUUUUAGACUGGUUAUAGUAAAUCAACCCCUGACACUAGAGAGAGAUAUCAAAGGAAAAACAUACAGGAGGGCUCCCCAACGGUCCUCUCGUUCCCAAGCUCCCCCGGCCUCCAACAUCCCAAUCGGCGGCCGACGCGCCGGCCCCCACCAGCCUCACCCGUGGGUUGACCGCUCCGGUCUCCGACGGCCAGAUAACGCCCCCAUUCGGUCUGCUUCUUUUCGUGAUGUCGUCGUUUCCGGCUCGUCUUCACACGCGCCCCUGCCGGGCCGGUCCCGCGCUACUUCUGUUGAUCUGGAACCGGACAGCGACGACUAGAUUCAAGUGAGGAAUCGUCGUCACCCGCUCCGUUAUGUGGCUGCGUCCCCGGCCGUGAGCCGGCCAGCUGGCCCCAAGCCUCAGAUUCCUCGGUGGUUGUUUGGAAGGUGUUUUAAGUGCUUGGAGACGGGCCACCAUAAAUCUGAAUGCUCCGGUGUGAUUAGAUGCCACCGCUGUUGGCUAACGGGUCACAUAGCUAGAAGCUGCCGCUCCUCUCCAGAUUCGUCACACCCUCCCCCUCCGCCUCCCAGAUCUGAGCCUGGCCUCUCUGCUCGCACCUCCGCUGGCCGGUCUUCGCAAGAGGGCUCCCUCCGUCGCCCGCCGCCGCCUUGUGACUUGGCCAACUACCCUCUCCUAGCUCAGUCCCGCUUCCCUGGCGGAAUAUACAUCCAUGGGGAUCCAGUUCUGCGGCCUGAGCGGAGUGGAGGUAUCAUCUCCCGCACCUCCAGGAUGGAUGAGCUCGAGGCGGAUUUCAGUAAUCGCGCCUUGCUAGCCACUGUGCAGGGCACAAGACCGGCCAUGUCUGCGGAAGCCAUGGUCCAAUCCCUGGCUUGGCUCUAUGGGGUCGAGAGGCGACAAGUCCGGGUGGAGGUGACACACCCGGCAGAUUUCUUCAUCACAUUCGCCUCCAUUGCGGAUUGUGAGAGGGUGCUCGCCAGCUCCGGGAAGUUUCGCUGUGCUGGAGCUUCCGUCGCUUUUCGGCGCUGGCAUAGAAGUUCCCAGGCGAGCAGCGGGAAACUUUGCUUCUUCUGCAAGAUUGGAUUUGAGGGCAUGCCAGCGAACGCCUGGGAGUGGGGUGCUGUCAGUCAGCUCAUCAACAAUUUGGGUGGCCAGCUGGUGGAAAUCCUCCCCCCUAACGAUCGUUGGGAUAUGGACGUCACCGCCUGGAUGCGCAAUCCAUCAGGCAUCCCCAAGAUGUACGAUUUCGAGGUUCCAGAGCCGGCGGGGCUGCCGAACUCCUUCGACAAGGACUUUCCGCUUUCCUCGCCACCACCAGCGUCGCCGAUAGAGAGGCUCACUCUUGUCCACCCGCUCACUAUCCAUGUCCUGGACGUGGUGGAUCGCUCAAUGUCGUUCAUGGAGUUCCGCCCAAACUAUGAACCAGAAGAGGAUGAAGAUCACACCAGGCGACACGACUUCUCGCGCUUCUGCUUCAGGGGGCGAGUUGAUGGCACUGGGAUGGGCUCGACUCCCUGUUCGGGCGGGCAUCCUUUCGGUGGCCCUGGUGGUCUUGGGAUUGCUGGAGAUUGGGGCGGACGCAGGGUCAAGGGGCUGCUGGCGCCCGCUGGUGGUUUUUCUGCCCCGUUUGUGCAGUCCAGACCAACGGAUGCCCAUGCCAUGCAUGGCGCGCCAGCUCGGCGGGUCGCUCUGGGCACGACGGCCUCAUGCUCUGCUUUGCUUGGUGGCUCCCCCUCUCCUGGCUCGCUGGCAACUACGGUCGUGGGUUCUGCGAACGGUGUGCUCACGCCGGCUUUGCAGGGGCCUCUCGGCGACGCAUCUUUGGCUAUGGUCUUGGCGGCUCACGCGCCCACGGUGGAUGUGACGCAUCAACACGGUGGUGGUUCUUCUUCAGUGGGCGGUGCACAUGGACACUCUAGUUGUGCCUCUACGGCAGUGGGCUCGGCGGCCUGUGUUGCCACGCCAGGCUUGCCAUGGUCGGUGGCCUCUACGGCUGUGGGCUCGGCAGCUUGUGUCGUGACGCCUCCAUCAGGACGAGUCACGCUCCGCCAAAUGACGUCGCCGCGCCGGCUUUCCUUCGCAUCGGAGGCGUGUACACAGUGCGUGGGGGUAGACGGCAAUCUAGUGUGCGCGCCCUCUCAUGGCACGCCUCCACGCCUGCACCUGGCAUGCCCAGCACUGUGCGGAACACCGAAAGUAGUGCCUUCCUCAGCUGCUGGUGCUAUGGAGACGCUGAAAGCUGUGCCGGAUGAUGAGAACCUACAUCUCAAGGCUCUGAAGUUGCCGAGCCAGUGUGGGCAGUCAAGGUCCUCUAGCUCGAGCCCGGUGCGCACGCCUUUUGCAACCCCAUUGAGCCCGAGCAAGCUGCUUCCACCCCUGGCACCCAAGGCAAAUCUGGACACGGUGCUUGGUCCAAAGACGGCUGCUGACACGCUGCUUGAGGGGAUCGGUGCCACCCCCAUGCCAUCUAUCAUGGGGCCGAGGCCAGCUGCAUCGGCUCCGGUGAGACGCAAGAAGACUCUACCAUCGGAUUUUACCCCUCGCCGGAGUGCACGUCUAAAUAAAAAUUGUGAUGGCGCGAACAAGGGGCCAUACCACCGCGCUCAAACUGUGCUGCUUCGUCGCAUGGGUCUAAUGGAGGCUGAAGAACAGGUGACGCAGAAAGCAAUGGACGAAUACUUGAAGCUCUUCGACAAGCCGCUGGCUCCGCACCACAUCAAGGCGAUUACUGCUCUCUUCGCCCCAGAUGAAGUGGACUUUGAUGAACCUUCUCAUGAGGGCUUCAGUGCUUUCUUCCUCCCUGCGGCUGUGGAGCCUUGUGGUGUGUAGUGUCCUGUACUGCUCUUGUUGUUCUUCAGAGGUAGUAUCAUGGCGAUGUCAGAGUGUUUGUUAGUUUGGAAUGUUAGGGGGCUCAAUAACCCAGCUAGGCGCAGUUCCAUCCGUUUGUUCCUACAAUCCUAUAACAUUUCACUUGCUUGUGUUCUAGAAUCUAAGUUGGCUGUGGUGGAUGCGGUGCUUGUGGGGCAAACUUUUGGCCCGGCUUUCGAUUGCUUUGACUUUCUACCAGCAACGGGUACCAGAGGGGGCAUUCUGAUCGCUUGGAGGUCGGAUAGAUUGAGUGUGUCUACGGUGUGUAAGAAGGAAUUCUCUAUCACCAUCAAAGUCACUUCUUUGGUGGAUGGAAGGGAGUGGAUGGCUACUUCUGUUUAUGGGCCACAGGAAAAUGAGGACAAAGUCAGAUUCCUGGUGGAGAUUGUGGAAAUUGGGGGGCAUGUUCAACUGCCAUGGAUCCUGAAUGGUGACUUCAAUCUGGUGUGUAAUGAAGAUGAGCGAAGUACGAGAAGAAUCAACAGAAGACAUACGAUCAACACCUUGGGCCUGCAUGACAUGCCGCUGGUGGGGAGGAAAUUCACCUGGUGUAAUGAUCAGGAGCACUCAGUAAUGGCAAGAUUGGAUAGGGUGUUGUUCAAUAGUGACCGGGAAGACACUUACCCCAUCAGUGACUUGAUACCGCUCAGUUCCAACAUAUCGGAUCAUUGCCCCCUUCUCCUGACCUGCUCUGGGGAUAUGCCAAGAUAGCGUCGCUUUCGUUUCGAGAAUUUUUGGGUUAAGUUGCCGGGUUUUAUGGAAACGGUGAAGGCGGCCUGGGAGGAACAAGUCUCUAGUAAUGACCCCAUGAAGAUUUUCAGUGUGAAACUGCAGCGCACCGCGAAGGCUCUCAGAAGUUGGGGUCAAAGGAAACAGAGCCAUAUGACCACCCUUUUUCAGAUUGCAAAUGAGCUGAUUUUGCGUUUAGAUGGCGCACGGGAAAAUAGAUCUUUGUCAGAAGAGGAACGCAAGCUAAAGGCUUUUUUGAAGGGAAAGUGCCUGGCACUCGCUUCCCUGGAGAGGGUGCGUCUCCGACAGCAUGCCAGAGUGAGAGACCUUCAGGAGGGGGAUGCUAAUUCCAAGUACUUCCACUUGAAAGCUAAUGGACGGCGUCGAAAGCGUCAAAUUCCUUUCUUCAAGGAUGGCGAUCGCAUGGUCUCAGCCAUGGAGGAUAAAAUGAAUCUAGCAUGGAGUUUUUACUGUGGUCUUAUGGGCACGCCGGCGCCUACUACAUCUUCCUUGAGGCUAGAUGAUUUGAAUCUGCAUAGUUUAUCCCCGGAGCUGGCUUCUGGUCUAGAAGUGGAGUUCACUGACACCGAGGUCAUGCAGGUGAUUAUGGAGAUGCCUUCUGACCGGGCUCCUGGGCCUGACGGUUUCUCCGGCCUAUUCUAUAAGGCUUGCUGGGAGGUUAUUAGGGAAGAUUUGAUGGCUAUCAUGCAUGAUCUGCACAGGGGCAAAUUCUUCUCCUUUGGCCGGUUAAACUCAUCAAUUAUUUCAUUGCUGCCUAAGAUAGACAGAUCCUUGGAAGUGGCAGAUUUCCGACCGAUAAACCUAAUUCAUGGUGCUGCUAAAUUUUUUGCCAAGGUCCUGGCUGUUCGCCUUGCUCCGUUGCUACCUGGGCUGAUCUCGCAAGUUCAGAGUGCUUUUGUCAGCAGGAGAAGUAUCCACGAGAACUUCAAAUUUAUGCACAAUACCGCACGGCUGCUGCAUCAUAGGAAAGUCCCGGCUGUGCUUAUGAAGAUUGACAUCUCCAAAGCCUUUGAUACUUUGUCCUGGGAAUUCAUUCUCAAAUUGUUGAUUCGGAGAGGUUUUGGACGAAGAUGGUGCUCUUGGAUCUGUGGCCUCAUGUGCACUGCCUCAUCCUCGGUGAUGGUCAAUGGUGAGACUAGUGAUCCCUUUGCGUUGGCUAGUGGUGUAAGACAAGGCGAUCCACUGUCACCGGUGCUCUUCAUCCUGGCUAUGGACACGCUUCAGGCUAUGAUUCAUUGGGCUACCAGGCACAAUCUACUCCCGGACAUGGGGCUUGGGAGCAAUGUGCCAAGGGCUUCUUUCUUCGCGGAUGACGCGAUCCUUUUCUUCAGACCUACGCCAAGCGAUAUGCAGGUCAUUUCUGCUGCUCUGAAGCUGUUUGGUGAAGCCACUGGACUUCGUAUCAAACUACAAAAGAGCACCAUUACUUGCAUCAGGAAAAGUGACACCAUAUCAGCGGGGGUGGCACAUCAUUUUUCCUGCCAGCUGAAGCAAUUUCCCAUUCAAUAUUUGGGGCUCCCUCUAUCAAUUUUCAGAUUACAACGCCAACAUAUACUGCCCCUCAUCGACAAAUACUCCAGCAGGAUGAAAGGAUGGAAGCCAAGGAUGCUUGCGCCUGCGGGACGGUUGGCACUUACGCAAUCUGUGUUGAUGGCAUUGCCCUUGCAUUUUCUUUCAGUGCUGCCACUGCCGGCAUGGGCUUUGGAAAUCAUCAACAUGAGGUGUAGGGGCUUCAUUUGGAAAGGGGAAAAUGAGAUCAAUGGAGGUCAUUGUCUUCUGCCUUGGGCGAGAGUGUGUAUGCCGAAGGAGUGUGGUGGCCUGGGCAUCUUGAACUUGAAGUGGUUCGGCUCGGCUUUGCAUUACCGAUGACCCUGGCUGCUCUGGGACCCUGAGGAGAGACCAUGGCAGAUGUUGCAGGACGAUCAGGAGGGUGAUGUCACGGCUAUCUUCAGUGCGGCCACGUCCGUCUGCUUGGGGGAUGGAGAGCGGGCCAUGUUCUGGACGGACAAUCGGUUACCGGAGGGCGGCUCCAUUGUGACCAUGGCCCCGACCCUCUUUUCUUUUGUCAAGAAGCCGGGCCGCACUGUACGGGAUGCCCUUCAGAAUCGUAGCUGGGUCCGAGACAUCUCAGGAGGAGUUUCAGUCGUAGCCAUUGCACAAUAUCUCACUAUUUGGGAUAUUACUCAGAAUAUCUCGUUGACGCCUGGUGUGCCGGAUCGUCUACAAUGGAAGCUGACUGAGGAUCAUCUCUUCUCUGUUAAGAGUGCUUACAACAUGUUCUUUGUUGCCUCGGUGCGCUUCGCAUGCUACAAACUAAUUUGGAAAUCCAAAGCUCCUCCAAGAUGCAAGUUUUUCAUGUGGCUAGUGGUUCAUCGCCGGUGCCUGACUGUGGACAACUUGGAGCGGAGGGGCUGGCCCUCAAACGGCAACUGCCCUCUGUGCCUUGUGACGCUGGAGGACUGCACUCACCUGUUCGUGCACUGCAGGUUCACACAACAGGUUUGGCUACUGUUCAGAGAUUGGACACGGGCGAAUUUUCAGGUGCCGGAUGAUCAUUUCAUCAAUACGGAAGACUGGUGGCUGCAAGCACGUAAGUUAGUUCCCAAGCCUAUGCGUCGGAACUUUGACACAAUCUCCAUCUUGAUUCACUGGAGGAUUUGGAAGGAAAGAAAUUCUAGAAUUUUUGAGCAGGAAGCGACUAGUCCCUUCAGUGUUUUGGAUCGGAUCAUAGAAGAUAUUGGGAUAUGGAGGGCGGCCGGUUGUGUCACUGACACCGGCAACCUUUCUUGAGUUGCUGGUUUGCCCCCUUUUAGUUGUUUUGACGGCUGUUGCCGUCCUUUUGUAUUUUCGGAACGUUUCAGUUCUGUGGGUUCCUAGUUCUAGUUCGCCUAGACUGCUAACCUUUGUUGUACUGCUUCUCCUUCUUCCUAAUAAUAUUCGGCCUAUGGCCCUUCGACAAAGGAAAAACCUCUCUAUUCAUUGCAAUAUAUCAAAUCUCCCAUCGUCUUGGCACUUUGUUCUUUUGAAAUAUGAGCGAUCAUUUGAUUCCGUUGGUUAGGAUUAACUUGAAAAUUCGCUAUGUAUGCGGUCAAAAUGGUUCAUUCCCUUCUCUAAAUAAGGUUUACUUGCGGAAGAGUUAGGAAAAGCUUUGGUGUUGCAAAAUUUAAAUGAUCAUAGUCAUUACUUUAGGGAUCUAAACGGUUUUAUAUUUCUUUACAGAGGGAGUAGUAUAUAUAACACCAAUGACUAUAUGUUUCCUGUAAAUGUCCAUAUAAUUAAAAGUUAUAGUUUAACUAUCCUACUUUCUUCUUUACAUGCACUUUCUUUAGGGGAAUUCUUUACAUGCACUUGUGCAUCUUUGGUGUACCGCCUUAAGCACCAAACAACAACCACAAGAAGCCAUGAGCACCGUGGAGCGAUGGUAGGCCAGAACAAUCAACGCUAGUCCAGAGAACAGAAAUACGUGUGCGUGCGCUGUUAGCGUAAUCUUGAUUAUAGCUUAAUUAAUUAGUUAGUGCUAGUUAGGUGCAAGUUUGCUGGCUGCCAUGUAGACGCGUAGUAGUAGUGCUGCUUGGCUUGCAUGUUGUGGCUACGUGAAUCUUGUACUAGCUAGUAGAGUCCGGCUAGGAUUAGUACGUGAAUCAUGUAGCAGUAGUUUAAGUCAGAUUCAAAGUCCAAGUAGGUAUCCGAGUAGGAUUAGGAAAAGUUGGACGUGAGGGCUUGGCUGAACGUGUAUAUGUAUACACGGGCAGACCAUGAUUAUAGUAACACCGUGGCGAGAAAACAGGAAAUAAAGAGAAUCAAAGGGCACGAUAACAGUCCUUGGCUAUCAGUUUUCGUGUGCGUGUGUUCGUCCUGAUUUGAUGUGAUCGAUCCGUGGACGGAGUCCCAACAAUUGGUAUCAGAGCAAGGUUCAGGAGUCGAGCGCUUGCCCCGGGGUUGCGACCCGACUAGUGCCUCGGGGCGGGCGAUAUGGUCGCUGGAUGGUGCAGCGACGAGGAGCUGGCCAUGAAGUUGCUGGGUGGUGCAGCGAUGAGGAGGAUCUGGCGAUCGUCGUCCGGCGGAGCGACAUGGAGGGAGACGGCGGGCUGUCGUCGGGAAGGCGGUGGAUGAAGAUCGUUGAUGGGUCAGGUGUUUGCCUUUCGGCCAUAUUAUAAUUGACAUUAUUCAACAUGCCUCAUUUGUGUACCCGCAACAGAGCCAAAUUGCCUUUCGGCCAUUGGCGUAGGUGUUUGUCAUUCUUCACUAUGCGAAGGCAAUCGAGUAGAACACGCAGGGUGAAGGCAUUCCAGUUAAUCUUUGAAAUACGUUUCACAUCAUGGACCAAAGCGUAGUACUGCUUUGGCACAAUCUUGCUCGACAUGGGAGCAAUAAUUGUUUCUAACAGGACAAGGACUAAUUUCCGAAGAAAAUCGUCGUCGGUGGCUUUACUUUUAAUUAUGUCCUCAAUGAGAUUAUCUAUCACUAUGUUUUCUGAUGUCUUACUGAGAAAUUGUGGCGGCACCCGCUCCAUCAUGUCCUCUCUUUCUUCAAUCAGAAUGUCUGAAGCGGAGAGUCCUUAGUUCUCGUGGUUAAAGAUGCACUCGACGUCGACCGCACCGAGAGUCACCUCCCCAACCUGCUCUUGUAUAAUGAAUCUGGACUUGCUGGCAUCAAAAUUCUCAAUCAUAUACCUAAUCAGAAGGGUACGCAUCUUAAUAGAUGGUAUCUGCAGCAUGCUGCGCAAUAUUGUAUCAGCCACUCUAGUGCGUUGACCGCUCGAUAGAGCGGCAACAAGCUUGCACCAUUUUUCAACAGCGCACACUAUUUCUCCAUUCAGCUUGUCCAUCCUAUAGAAAAAAAAUAUAAAACUUCGUUACAUUUGCCAACAGAAAUGCAAAAAUAACAAUAGACAUGCAAAAAUAUAAAACUUUCUGGCAGCAGCAAACAAAAAUGCAAAAAUAACACUAAUGCAAAUAUAAAACUAGCACCAUGUAUACAGCAACAUGCACUCAAGUGUGUUGUGAUAUGAGGCAAUAAAAAAUAACAUUCUGUUUGCAUAAUUGUUUUUUUCGACAAGAUCUUUAAAACAAGACUAAUAUUGAAUAUAUUUUUGAAAAUUAGUUUUUAGACAACUAAAUAACCAUGCUUCAAUCUUGUUUUGUAUAAUUGUUUUAGUUCCAUGCAUUUUUUUUAAUAAUGUUGCCUUCUAUUUCGUAAAGAAAAAAAAUCUAACUAACACUAUGGCUCGCCGUGUUACAUUGUGUAUCAUAAUGUUACAUUGUCUGCCGAUUCUUCUUAAUUUUACAUUGUUUCAUCAUGUUUCAGAACAUGAAUCUUCAAACUUGUUAAAAUAUAUUCAAAAGUGGUCUCGUAUUAAAGUUCUCAUUGUCAUAAACACAAAUAUGCAUCGGAUCUUCAAGAAAAAUCAACGGCUCUUCCAUGCACGGUACCUCCCGUGCAUGGGAGAAUUGCUUUUCUCUAUUCUACCCUGAUAUGAAAGAUUUAUUUCAUGUACGCCUUCUGGUCAGAACGCAUCUAGUCGAGUUGAUACUAGCUACUUGAAACUAUGUGGUAAACCUAAGUCCAUGAAAGCAACAAGAUGAUAGAACUAGCUUGCUAUGAAGGCGUGAGGUAAGGAGGACAACUUACUUGAUCGGUCGACGAAGAUGAAAGAAGUCGGCGAUGCGUUGUCGACGUACUUCAUCGACGGCGGCCAGCAUGUGCGGACGACCUUGAUCUCUCGGGGUUUUUGUGGCGUGUGUGAUGCGGCGGACGGAGCUGUCGACGACUCGCCGGCAGGAGGCGAUCUAGACGACGACAUGUGCGAGGAGGUUGAGAUUAUAUACGAGGUCGUCUCCUAGGUCGUUGUAACUUCCCUGUGGCCAAUCUCGCGAUCUAUAUUUUUCUCCGGUCGUUGUAACUUCCCUGUGGCCAAUCUCGCGAUCUAUAUUUUUCUCCGUUGAAUCGAGGCUGAACGUGCUCCUCAAUCGUAGGGAUUAGGAACAUAAGGAUUAGCAGGAUCCCAGAAUUGUGUAACCGAACGGCAACUACUCCCAUGAUCGACGUGCAUGGAAAGCGCAGCGUGGUGGGCCCCCACAAUAUGGAUCGGACAGUUAUUUGCGGUCUGGGCCGGCCCACCUACCUCUACAUUGUUUUUUCCUCAAAAUUAAUAUCAUUGUUUCUUCCCUCAAUAAAAAAUAUUUGUGACACCUAUUAGUUAUUGUAUACUUGUAUAUGUUCAACAAUAUUUAUAGUAUCUCUAUCAUUUCUGCAAUAUUAUAUAUUCAAAUGUACUAUUCCUCUUUCCCUUUUAAUUAGGUUUUCCUGUUAUUUUAUGUUUUCUCCUUCUUAUUCCUAAUUGUUUUUUCAUGUUUCAUAAUUCCAUAUCACUUCUUCUCAUAUUUUUCAAAUUCAUAUCAAAUAUGUAUGAUUAAAUGUUGUCCUAUUUAUGAGUUGUUAAUUGGUCGGUCCGGGAAGGUAAACCACUUUCAGACCUGCCCUCCGGCAGACCCGAAUGACCCUGCUUGUACAUAGUGCAUGUGGAGGCAUGCAUGAGAUGACCCCAACUUUUGGGACCAUAUGGGCAUGGCCAAUGUGGUCCCCCCGGCAAGGUGUGCACAAAUUCGGACACAAAACGCACGUUGCGUCACGUGGGGGUAGUGUUCUAGGGUUUUGUCGCCGGAUAAACCCUAGAAAAUGGUUCGAGUGUCGGAAAUGAACGAUACUUGUCAUGCAUGCAUGCCAUGAUCAUCCUUGGGUAUGCAUAAAGUUUGGGAUCAUUCGGUGGGACCGGAAAGGUAAACCACUUUCAGACCUGCCCUCCNNNNNNNNNNNNNNNNNNNNNNNNNNNNNNNNNNNNNNNNNNNNNNNNNNNNNNNNNNNNNNNNNNNNNNNNNNNNNNNNNNNNNNNNNNNNNNNNNNNNNNNNNNNNNNNNNNNNNNNNNNNNNNNNNNNNNNNNNNNNNNNNNNNNNNNNNNNNNNNNNNNNNNNNNNNNNNNNNNNNNNNNNNNNNNNNNNNNNNNNNNNNNNNNNNNNNNNNNNNNNNNNNNNNNNNNNNNNNNNNNNNNNNNNNNNNNNNNNNNNNNNNNNNNNNNNNNNNNNNNNNNNNNNNNNNNNNNNNNNNNNNNNNNNNNNNNNNNNNNNNNNNNNNNNNNNNNNNNNNNNNNNNNNNNNNNNNNNNNNNNNNNNNNNNNNNNNNNNNNNNNNNNNNNNNNNNNNNNNNNNNNNNNNNNNNNNNNNNNNNNNNNNNNNNNNNNNNNNNNNNNNNNNNNNNNNNNNNNNNNNNNNNNNNNNNNNNNNNNNNNNNNNNNNNNNNNNNNNNNNNNNNNNNNNNNNNNNNNNNNNNNNNNNNNNNNNNNNNNNNNNNNNNNNNNNNNNNNNNNNNNNNNNNNNNNNNNNNNNNNNNNNNNGGUGGGACCGGGAAGGUAAACCAUUUUCAGACCCGCCCUCCGGCAGACCCGAAUGGUUCGCUUGUACAUGGUGCAUGUGGAGGCAUGCAUGAGAUGACCCCGACUUUUGGGACCAUGUGGGCAUGGCCAAUGUGGUCCCCCAGGCAAGGUGUGCACAAAUUCGGACACAAAACGCACGGUGCGUCACGUGGGGGCAGUGUUGUUAGGUUUUGUCGCCGGGAAAUGAACGAUACUUGUCAUGCAUGCAUGUCAUGAUCAUGCUUGGGUAUGCAUAAAGUUUGGGAUCAUUCGGUGGGACCGGGAAGGUAAACCUCCUUCUAGUACAUGGCGCAUGUGGAGGCAUGCAUGCGAUUGUCCCAACUACAUUUAAUUUAAUAAUACUUCAAGUAUGAAACAGAAAAGAAAAUUUAUAAUUGAAAAAGACAACCAUGAAAAGUGAAAUAAAAGACAACAUUAUAUCAUACAUAAAUUUAAUUUAUAACCGUCAGAACAAAGAAAAGAGGAGAAUAUAGAAAAGAGAAGAAAAAUUUAAAUGAAUAAGUGCGAUAAAAGACAACAUAUUGNNNNNNNNNNNNNNNNNNNNNNNNNNNNNNNNNNNNNNNNNNNNNNNNNNNNNNNNNNNNNNNNNNNNNNNNNNNNNNNNNNNNNNNNNNNNNNNNNNNNNNNNNNNNNNNNNNNNNNNNNNNNNNNNNNNNNNNNACAACAUAUUGUCUUACAUUUAAAAAAUAGUUCAAAUAUAAAAAAGAUAAGAUCUAUUAGAAUGUAGAAGUGAAAUAAAAGACAACAUAUUAUCUUACAUUUAAAAAAUAAUUCAAAUAUAAAAAAGAUAAGAUCUAUUAGAAUAUAGAAGUGAAAUAAAAGACAACAUAUUAUCUUAUAUUUACAAAAUAUUUCAAAUAAAAAGAAGAGAACAAAAAUUAGAAUGAAGAAGUGAAAUAAAACAGAACAUGUUAUCUUACAAACUAAAAAUAUUUUAAAUAUAAUAAAGAUAAGAAAUAUUAGAAUUGGGCCCAAGGCUGCCCUGGGCCAGAUCAGUGUGCCGCGGGUAAGGCUGCCCUGGGCCAGCCCGCCCGAUUGGGCCCAAGGCAAAGCCGCGCAGGGCGCAGCGCAGCGCACAGCCGCGGGGUGGUGGGAGUUUAGUCCCACCUCGCCAAGCGAGAGAGCGCCGCACCGGUUUAUAUACCCGGCUGCGACUCCCCUCCCAAGCUCCUAUCAUAUGCAGGCAGUACAUUGUCUAACUCUCGUCACCUCUGCCCCAUGGGGCCUACUAGCAGCAGAGUUAUUCUGCACCACGGGCAUGCAUCCUGGCCCAUGAACCGCUGGGUUCCUAGUUGUAUGCAGUCCGUGGUGUAUGAAUGAUCCUGCUCUGGUAGGUGGGCACUUUUUUCGCAUAUUGCCAGGUGUUUUUAUCUUCAAAUCACAAACUAAAUUAUACACAUGCUCACUUGCAUUGAAUACACAAACUAAAUCACAAACUAAGUUAAUGUUUUCACCUUCAAAUCACAUAAUAAAUUUUACACAUGCACAGUUACAUGUAAUACACAUGGCUAUUAAUGAGAUUUCAACAAAAUGAGACCGUCGUGUACGAAUUCUCCUCCCAGAUGCAUGCCAUGAUCAUGGUAGGGUGUGCAUAUAGUUUGUGAACAUUUGGUGGGACCGGCAAGGAAAACCUCUUUCAAACUUGCCCUCCGGCAAACCCGAAUGGUAUGGUUUGUACAUGGUUCAUGUGGAGGCAUGCAUUAUAUGACCUCAACCUUUUGGGAGCACGUGGGCAUGGCCAAUGUGGUUUUAUCGAUGCAAAACACCUACAAGAUACAUCGAGUGUCUGAAAUGAACGAUAGUUGCCAUGCAUGCUUGCUAUGCUCAUCGUAGGGUGUGCAUAAAGUUUGGUAUCCAUUGGUGAGACCGAGAAGAAAAACCUGCUUCAAGUAUGAAACAGAAAAGAAAAUUUAUAAUUAGGAAAGACAACCAUGAAAAGUGAAAUAACAGACAACAUUAUACCAUACAUUAUUUAAAUUUAUAACCGUCAGAACAAAGAAAAUAGGAGAAUAUGGAAAACAGAAGAAAAAUUUGAAUGAAUAAGUGCAAUAAAAGACAAUAUAUUAUCUUACAUUUAAAAAAUAAUUCAAAUAUAAAAAAGAUAAGAUCUAUUAGAAUGGAGAAGUGAAAUAAAAGACAACAUAUUAUCUUACAUUUUGAAGAUAUUUCAAAUAUAAAGAAGAUAAAAAAUAUUAGAAUGAAGAAGUGAAAUAAAACAGAACAUUUUAUCUUAUAAACUAAAAAUAUUACAAAUAUAAUAAAGAUAAGAAAUAUUAGAAUGAAGAAUUGAAAUAAAACACACCAUUUUUGUUUAUUCGUNNNNNNNNNNNNNNNNNNNNNNNNNNNNNNNNNNNNNNNNNNNNNNNNNNNNNNNNNNNNNNNNNNNNNNNNNNNNNNNNNNNNNNNNNNNNNNNNNNNNNNNNNNNNNNNNNNNNNNNNNNNNNNNNNNNNNNNNNNNNNNNNNNNNNNNNNNNNNNNNNNNNNNNNNNNNNNNNNNNNNNNNNNNNNNNNNNNNNNNNNNNNNNNNNNNNNNNNNNNNNNNNNNNNNNNNNNNNNNNNNNNNNNNNNNNNNNNNNNNNNNNNNNNNNNNNNNNNNNNNNNNNNNNNNNNNNNNNNNNNNNNNNNNNNNNNNNNNNNNNNNNNNNNNNNNNNNNNNNNNNNNNNNNNNNNNNNNNNNNNNNNNNNNNNNNNNNNNNNNNNNNNNNNNNNNNNNNNNNNNNNNNNNNNNNNNNNNNNNNNNNNNNNNNNNUAAAAAGAGAAUGAACAAAUGAAAUAAAACGCAACAAAAUUUGGCAUACUUUUUUAUUUUAGUAAACACUGUUAGAAAUAAUAAAGAAAAAAAGAGAUUUGAUUUUAAAUAUUAGAGAUAUAAACAAGAAAAUAAAUUUUGGAGUUAAGAAGUGAAAAACAAAGUAAUUUAUAAAACACAGAUCAGCGCGCCGCGGGUAAGGUGCCCUGGGCGAGCCCGCCCAAAUUGGGCCCAAGGCAGAGCCGCGUAGGGCACAGAGCAGCGCACAGCUGUGGGGUGGUGGGAGUUUAGUCCCACCUCGCCAAGCGAGAGAGCGCCACACCGGUUUAUAUACCCGGCUGCGACUCCCCUCACAAGUUCCUAUCAUAUGCAGGCAGUACAUUGUAACUCUCGUCACCUCUGCCCCAUGGGGCCUACUAGCAGCAGAGUUAUUCUGCACCACGGGCCUGCAUCCUGGCCCAUGAAUCGCUGGGUUCCUAGCCGUAUGCAGGCCGUGGUGUAUGAAUGAUCCUGCUCUGGUAGGUGGGAACUUUUUUUUCGCAUAUUGCCAGGUGUUUUUGGCAUAUUCUCCUGUUCUUCAAAUCACACACUAAAUUAUACACAUGCUCACUUGCAUUCAAUGCACAUUUUUUGCAUAUAUGCCAAGUUAAUGUUUCUACCUUCAAAACACCUAGUAUUUUUGGCAUAUUGUCAUGUGUGUUUGGCAUAUUCUCCUGUUCAUCAAAUCACACACUAAAUUAUACACAUGCUCACUUGCAUUCAAUGCACAUUUUUUUGCAUAUAUGCCAAGUUAAUGUUUCUACCUUCAAAACACCUAGUAUUUUUGGCAUAUUGCCAUGUGUUUUGGCAUAUUCUCCUGUUCACCAAAUCACACGCUAAAUUAUACACAUGCUCGCUUGCAUUCAAUGCACAUUUUUUUGCAUAUAUGCCAAGUUAAUGUUUCUACCUUCAAAACACCUAGUAAAUUUUAGACAUGCUCAUUUGCACACAUGGCUAUUAAUGCGAUUUCUAUAAAAACGAGGCCGUGGUGUACGAAUUCUCGGCAGACCUGAAUGGUCCGGCUUGUACAUGGUGCAUGUGGGGGCAUGCAUAAGAUGACCCCAAAUUUUGCACACAUGACCUCUCGCACAAACAAUGCCAUGUUUUUCCAAAUUUUGCAAACUAAGCGAUGUGGGGGCAUUGUAAAAAUAUUCUUUUUCCAAAAUUUAUUUGAUAGCCAUGUUUGGCACUUGUGGGCCACCAUUUACAAGAAAAUUUGGGUGAUUUGGAGGUGGUGGAAAAAAUCACUUAUGUUCAAAAACUGGCUUAAGUUAGACCAAAUGGCCCCUCCGGAAUGCGGUGAUUUUUUUGACCACCUCGAAAUCACCUCUAUUUUGGCACACAUGACCUAUUGCACACAAAAUGCUAGGUUUUCAAGGUUUUAUAUUUUUUUGAUUUUUUAUUCAAUUCGUACUGCCCUCUAGACUGGUUGCUCAAAACAUCAGUCUAUACCUCAAGGGGGCCUUGUAAAAUAUUCUUUUUCCAAAUUUUAUUUGAUAGCCAUGUUUAGCACCACUAGUAGAGAAAGGACCUAAUGUGAGACACAUUAGUGCCGGUUCAAUUUUGGCCGGUACUAAUGGUACCAUUAGUGCCGGUUCGAGCGGCUAUGCAUUAAUGUCGGUUCGUUUUGAACCUUUAGUACCGGUUCGUGCCACGAACCGGUACUAAAGGGGUUGUGGCAGGCUCGCGUCAGGUCGGGGCCCUGCGAUCACCUUUAGUACCGGUUCGUGGCACAAACCGGUACUAGAGGGCUAACCUUUAGUACCGGUUCGUGGCAGGGGUUUGACCUAUAGUACCGGUACUGAAGAGCAAUAUUCAAUCUUCUACCNNNNNNNNNNNNNNNNNNNNNNNNNNNNNNNNNNNNNNNNNNNNNNNNNNNNNNNNNNNNNNNNNNNNNNNNNNNNNNNNNNNNNNNNNNNNNNNNNNNNNNNNNNNNNNNNNNNNNNNNNNNNNNNNNNNNNNNNNNNNNNNNNNNNNNNNNNNNNNNNNNNNNNNCCAUUUCAGUUUUGAAAAAUACAAAAGAAAAUGCUAAAAAAUUCAAAAAAUAAAAUUCUUUGAGAUGUAAUUAUAUUACUACAUUUACUAGUUAGGAAAAUUAAAAAACUUAAAUUUGGACAUGAUUUGCAAAAAAAUGUAGGGAAAAUGUGAAACGGCUAUAACUUUUGCAUACGAUGUCGGAAAAAAAUGUACAAUAUAUCGAAAAAUUCAACACGAAAAACCGCAUCCGAUUUUGACCGCCUACGGCCUGUUUGCAAUUUUUUAGAAUCCUCAAAUUCCAAAAGGAGAAAAAGAUAUGCUCAAAUUUAAGUUUUUUUUAAUUUUGGUUAAAUUUGGUCAAACUACUUAUUCAAGAAGUAUUAAUGUUACUACAUACUUAUUUAAGAAUAUUAGUGUUACCAUAUAAUUAUUUCAAUUUUUUGAAUUUUGGUCAAAUCUGGUCAAACUAUGGCCAAAAAUCACCUAUGUUCAAAAGAUCACCUAUGUUCAAAAACUGGCUUAAGUUAGACCAAAUGGCCCCUCCGAAAUGCGGUGAUUUUUUCGACCACCUCCAAAUCACCUCUAUUUUAGCACACGUGACCUCUAGCACAAACUAGGCUAGGUUUUCAAGGUUUUAUAUUUUUUUGUUUUUUUUUUGAAUUUAUACUGCCCUCUAGACUGGCUGCUCAAAACAUCGGUCUAUACCUCAAGGGUGCAUUGUAAAAUAUUCCUUUUCCAAUUUUUCUUUGAUAGCCAUGUUUGGCACAUGUGGGUCACCAUGUACAAGAUAAUUUGUGUGAUUUGGAGGUGGUGGAAAAAUCACCUUUGUUCAAAAACUGGCUUAAGUUAGACCAAAUGGCCCCUCCGGAAUGCGGUGAUUUUUUCGACCACCUCCAAAUCACCUCAACUCUUGCAAACAUGACAUCUUCCAUAAACAAAGCUAGGUUUCCAAGAUUUUUUAUUUUUUAUUUUUUUUGAAUUUAUACUGCCCUAUAGACUGACUGGUGCAAGAAUCGGUCUACACCUCAAGGGGGCAUUGGAAAAUUUAUUUUUUCCAAUUUUUCUUUCAUAGCAAUGUUUGGCAAAUGUGGGUCACCAUUUAAAAGAAAACUUGUGUGAUUAGGAGGUGGUGCAAAAAAUCACCAUGUUAGCUAGACCAAAUGGUCCCUCCAGAAGGCGGUGAUUUUAUCGACCACCUCCAAAAUUUCCACUUUUUAAAAUAUAUCAGAAAUGGAAGAUUCAAUCUUGCUAACUUAUGAAUUGACAAAAAAUGAUUUUCAAAAUUUUCUAAUUCUUAUAAUAUAUUUCAAAUGGAAUAUUCAAUCAUGCUCACUUAUGAACAUUGACAAAAACAAAUUUCAACAUUUUCUAAUUUUAAAAAUAUAUUUGAAAUGGAAUAUUCAAUCAUGCUGACUUAUGGACAUUCACAAAAAAAGAUUUUCAACAUUUUCUAAUUCUAAAAAUAUAUUUGAAAUGGAAUAUUCAAUCAUGCUAACUUAUGAACAUUGACAAUAAAGGAUUGUCAACAUUUUCCAAUUUUUUAUUUUAUAUUUGAAAAGGAAUAUUCAAUCAUGCUAACUUAAGAACAUUGACAAAAAAUGAUUUUUAACAUUUUCUAAAUUUAAUAAUAUAUUUGUAAUGGAAGAUUCGAUCACGCUAACUUAUUAAAACCUCAAUUCAAUUUUUUUAGUAUCUAUCCUAUGUAGAUAAGGCUGGUUCUUUGCACACACCAUUACCAAGCACAUGCUCACUGUAUGCAGCAUGUUUCAUCAGUGAAGCAACAUUGAAGCACCUACUAUGAUCAUUGUAGCAUCAGAAUAUAAACCCUGCAACAAAGCAUAGCUGACCUGCUUCUAGACAGUUGAUAUACUUCAGAGACAUACUAGAUUAAUUAAGUCUCUGCCAUACUUAAGAGUCUGCCAUACUACUUAAUAGUCUGCCAUACUACUUAACAGCUCACAAACACUUCCACCUUCCAGAUUCACAGUUCACAACCAUACUAGCGCAAAAGUUAAACAUCAUCAACUAUACUGACGAUGAUUAGUUCCACUACCAGCUUCACAGAGGGUGACUAGAUGGGACCCGUAGCCUUCAAGAGGGCUGCAUGCUCUGCCCUGAUCUUCACAUCGCUCCCACUCGUGGUUAAACGGCAUGCAUGUGACAUAAGGUGCUCAUACAACCCAUCCUUGGGAAUUGGCUUAAUGGUGCAGUAUGGGCACCUGAACUUGCCCCACUUGAAGUACGCCGCCUUCCCCUUCUCCCUGAUCUUGUUGGCUUCAUGCUCAAUGAAGGACCUGUGGUUCCAAUCUUCCACCUCAUCUCCAGAGUUGUACGGCACAUACAAAUGAUUUGCAUAAAUACAUACUUCCCAUUUAGAGUAAUGUAAUUAACAAACAUCAGAUAAUUGCCAUUUACUGGAAUGUAAUGAACAAACAAACAUAAUAGCCCAUUUACAGCUACUUAAUGCACAAACAACAAAAUAGUUCCAUUUAGAAGAAUUUAAUGGACAAAUAAUAGAAUAGUUCAUUUAUAUGCAUUCAUAUAUGGUUUCAUGAAAAAACAUCACACAUAUCCCAUUUACAGCUAAAUAAUGCACAAACAUCACAACUUUCAGAGCAAUUAAUUGAAAGUAUAACAAAACUUUCCAUUUUAGAAUAAUUCAAUGGACAAACAACACAAUAUUUCCAUUUAUGAGCAUUCAGAUUUGAUUUCAUGAUCAAAGACUACAAAUAUGCCAUUUAGAGCUAAUUAAUGACCAAACAACACAGCUUUAUGAUAUCAGUGAAUAAACUACAUAACAUUCCAAUUUAGAGGCAUUCAUAUAGGGCAUCAUCAACAAACAACAUCUCACACCGAUUAAUAAACAGACAUAAAACAGCUUGGGGUUACCUCCUCGUCGUCGUCAGAAUCAGACGGGUCGUCGAACCCAGCGAUGUCCAGCUUCCUCUUGUUGCCAGCAGCUUCCUCAUUCUGCAAUAUAUAUAAGUAAUUAAUUCAAUUAUACUACUAACUACAUAACACAGUAUGCAAAGGUCAAGCAAUCUGCAAUGUGCUUCUAAUAAGCUAAAAUGAUACUUUGACCUAAAAUUAAACUGUAUCCAAAGGUCAAGCAUUCUACAAUGAUAGCUUGGUCAAUCUAAAAUUUUAGAUCAUGUUGACUGUGGUCCUUCAAACUAUAAUGCCAGCCUGGGCACCAACAAUAAUCUUGUGAGUGCUCAGGUCUGCCAAUGGAGGUAGUACAUUUUUUGAUGUACCCUACAACUAUAUCAGUGACCCAUUGUGGUUGACAACAAGUAAUUGCAUUUACUUCAUCUGGCUCAUGUAAUGUACAUAGUGGUGCAUCAGCUGCCCUAUUCUCUGAACCGUAUAUUGGAUGGUAUAUUAUAAUGCCAUGAGCUUCAGGAAAGUAAAUCUUUGUCCGAUUUUUGGUGCUAGGUGUGAAACUAUUUCAUAUGACAUACAUGCAUGGAGUUAGGCAACAUAAAUUUAAUAUGACUUGGUCAUCUGGCAUAGUUGCAUGUCUACCAAACCUACUUAUGGUUUACUUUAUAACUACAACAAUCCUACAGAUCAAACCUACAAUUUUAGUUUAUGGAUAAUGAAGUGAAGCUCCUAACUAUUUUAAAAUUGCACACUAGUUCAUACUGUGUUCAUUUCAAUAAUUAAUUGAUACACUUCUGUCACAGAAAGUAGGAUUUAAACCUCAUUUCUACAAUAUCAACUUUAAUAGAUACAGUGGGUAGCUGCUCAGCCCCUGUCGUGGCCCACUGAGGGAAUAUGCACAACAAAUCUAACAAAAUAUACAGCACAGAACAGAAUCUGAGCACAUGCGGCAAUCCAGAUUCUAAUAUAAAUAAUCUAACUCUCAUUAUGAUGUCUCUAGCAUUCAAGCACGAAUCAACUUGAAAAAACCCUAACUCUGAAAUGGGGUUCACCAUUCAAUCAAAAAACCCUAACAAGCAGAAGGGGGUGCCGCUAUCAAUCACAAAUCUACUAUAAAAAACACCAUCUACUAAAUCUUCUGCUUAUCUACUACAAGUAUGAAAGGAGGGGAACGAGAAGCGUUACCACAUCCACCACCUGCUUGUCGCUCGCCUCCGCACCUACAUCCAGUGUGCCGCCAGACGCCGUCACCACCAGGUCUGCCACGACGGAGUCCGAGCCCACCACCCCCUGCGCCACCAGAUCCGCCGCCACAGGGACCGGUCCAGCGACUGCCGGUGCAGCAUCUCCCGCACCGCCGAUGGCGCCACUUCUUGGACGGCAUCUGCGGCGGUCUCCGCGCCCUCGACCACAUCUCCGUGCGCAGCGACGGCAGCGCCACGACCUUGCUCCAUCGAAUCCUGAGAGAACCCGCCGGAGAGAGGGAGGCGGUGGGGUUGAACAAGUAGGUGCGGUGGCGGGGCGAUGGAGACGAGGAGGAGACGAUGCGGCAAGGAGAGAGGGAGUGAGCCGAUUUGGCGGUAAAUGGUGGGGGCGAUGCGGCCGGUGGUGGUUCCCCUCCCUCUUUAUAGGAUGUGACAUUUUUGGAAUUUUUCGUGCGCCGCGUGGCCGCGUGGCUAGACCACGACCGCCGCCGCCCAAGCCCACGACCGCCGCACGUGACAAGGGAAAACGAUACGCCCACGUACAAUACAUGUAUACCCUCAGUGUACAAAAGUAAUCGGGCCGGUGCGGGCUUGUACAGGGCUGUACGCGCGCCGGUGCGGGCUUGUACAGGGUUGUACGCGCGCUCUCCUCGGGCAUAAAAAUACGAUCGUGCCCUUCUUAACGAAUCGUUUUUGACAGAUCUCAGCCAUCCUUGUAUUUCUCCCCCUCGCGUUCAACCAGGGGGGAGCACCGGAGCAGAAACGUACAACUAGUGCAGGAGUCCUUCUGUUUCCUAGUUAUAAUACCUACUAGAUAGGAAGUGCGGCCUGCCGCACCCACCUGGUUUCAUUUUAGCUAACCCGACAGAAAGAUAAAAAACAGUAUGACGAAGCAAAGGAAAACAUAUACUUCCCAAAAUCUGAACUUGAUUGAAUCAUAUUCAGCCAAGUAAAUCAGAAUAUAUAUUACACAUGAUACAAAGGUACAAAGCGGAUACAACAAUUUAUAUAUGCAUAUGAAGCUAUGACAUGUACGCACAGCGACUCGACAUCAUCGAUACAACAGUUCAUACACCCAAAUACAUGCUGGAUAUGUUCUCCGUACACCAGUAAAAGGAUAGCACAUAUAGCUUGGUCCGCUAAUUUUGAUCUGUUCUCAUUCACUAUGCCAGGCAAAAGAGAGUACUCAGCGUACACAAAGUUCCUAUCGAUUUUGACCUAAUCAGAUACCUGCAAAGAAACACACCUCAGGGCGCAGCUGGUAGCAGGUGGCAUCCAUUUCCCAUAAUCGUACACACUUUCACCAAUUUUCCACCCAGGAUCCUGUCUUCCUCCUCGGGAUACUUCUUCCAGUCUUUGAAAAAUCUGCACCACAAUCAAAGAUCUUGUGUUUUAUGGCAGCUCACGUUAUGACAACUAUUAAAGAUUCAAUACAACUUAGUCUUAUAUGCUAACCACAAUGUUUGCUUGCCCUUGGACAGUACAACAGAAUAAAAUAGGAGGUGCAAAUCCAGAACAAUGUAUGUUGGGUGACAGGGCAUAAUAAUAACAAAUCUAUUGAGAACAAAGGACCAACUCAAGCUAGCAUGUGUUGAUAUGCCCCUACAGCCGAGCCAUCAUUUCUGUGCACGGUCAUGACCAAAAUGAUAAGGUCAUGCAUAGCCAAUCCUCAAAUGCACGUAAGAGGAAUGUAUAGCAUAUGGGUUAACUAACUAACGAAUAUGAGGAUCACACAAAACACAUCAAAAGUAUGAUUACUUUAAGAGAUACCCAGUCUAGAGCCUAGGCUUCCUGUUCGGAGGGCAAAGCUUCUUUUCCUGUUCGGAGAAAAACAGUGAAAUAAGCAGACACGACAAAGAUAGAUAUUGUUAUAAACUUAUGGGGAAAGCAAAAGUACAUACCUUGAAAUACCAUCGAUCUCAUCUGCUAAGGUAGAAGAAUAUCCACCCAGCAUUGUACUCUUCUAGAAGAACAAAGCAAAAAGGCAUAUUAAAUCAGCAUUCAAAUAAUGGUCUUUGCUCAAAUGAGAUAUGCAAAAGACCUCAACAUUAUUAACCCAUGGCGGACCCCACAUGGCCCCGUUUUAACUAACUCCGGCAAUAGAUAAUAUAUAUGUAUUACUCAAUAUAUCUCAUAAUGGAAAUGUCGAGAGGCAGCAGGGAGAUGAAAUAAUAUAACACUUUUUCAUAUCUUGCAUAAUUCCAAGAGCACGUAUAGCCUUCUCAAAGAAGAAAACAAAAUGGGUAAGAAAACAUCUAGCCAAUAAGUAGAUACAGAUGUAUAGUAAAGGAAAAAACAUUCAGCAUCUCAAUAGAGGAAAAAAUAGCACAGGUGCAUCAGAAAAGCCACAGUUCAAAGAAAUAUAUAUGUGUAUAAAAGCAAAAUCAUGCAAGACAACUCAAGAACUUUUAGCAAACCUACAACUGCAAGAAAAUUCAGAAGGGUAUGUUAAUAAUAAAGGAAGGGCACAGUUUAGGAUCUAAAUAGCGACAUUAGUGUUGUACCCGACGAUAGCUAGUUGUGUGAAAAUGAAACAAUAUCGACAGACGCGGCAUUUAACAAAAAAAAUGUAGGUAGAGCAAUACAAAAUAGGGUUUAAUUAUCCUUUUGCCCUCAGUGGUGUCCAUGUGCUCAGUUUUGCCCUCAGAUGCGAAUUGUCCUCAGUUUUGCCCCUAGUCCGUGCGCACCGACUCGUUCCGUGAACUCUGCCGUCUCCGUCAGGUCAACCUUUUGACUCGGCCCUUACAGGUGGGACCAGGCGGCAGAAACGGCCAAUUUUAUUCAGACCGUUGCACGCGUGGCUUGUGGGACCCAGCAAAGAGCCGUUGAGCAGAGAGCCGUUGGCGGGUGUGCUAUAUAAGUGGGCGACAUCGGCGGUGACCACGGCGACAGAGAGCACGGCGGUGACCACGGCGAGAGAGAGAGCACGGCGGCAGGAAGCUAGCUGUGGAGGGCGCGGCGGUGGGAAGCUAGCAGUGGAGGGCGCGGCGGCGUUGAGAUCCCCUUCGGCUCCGAGCUCCAUGUCUUCCUCAAGCUCCCGCGCCACCUCGCGGAUGCAGAGCCGGGCGCGUGUGGACAUGCCUGUCUUCGUCUGUCCGCGGUGCCGGGCGGGCGUUGAUCGAAGGGUUUCUCAGACACCGAGGAACCAGAAUCAUCCGUUCUACGUGUGCAGCGAGAAUGGGGUAAGAAUCGGGGCAAUUGCACCAUUUUCGUCGUCGGGAUGUUUGAGCAAUGGGUUGAUCUGUUUAGUGUUCAUGCAGGUGACAUGGUUCUUUCUUUGGGUCGAUGCUUUGGCCAAGACUCUGAUGAAUGAACUGCAAGAAGAGCAUGAAGAAUGGUUGCGCAUGCUGCCACGAACGGCAGUGGCCACACCACGAGCCCCGGAAGAAGAGAUGGAUGGCGAAGCACGCACUGACAGAGAGCUAGCUAUUGAGCUUAGGAUGUUGAAGAAGAAGGUUAGGAAGCUUGAAGAUCAAGCACUACCAAUACCCAUUUGCAAAUACUUUUGGGCAUUUGUAGGUAUGGUAAUCGCACUGGUUGUAAUGUUGAAAAUGUAUGGAAAGGCAUGAAUUAUGAAGGAAUUUGUAAUCUUGAAAUUGUUUGAGAAAUUCACCUAGUUUAAAUGUUGGUUAAAGUUGUUUAAAUGUUGAAACAAAAAGAGAAGAAGUGACCAACAUUUAAAUAUGUUGGAAAAAAAGAAAGGAAAUUAGGAAUUCAGAAACUUUUGAUCAAUGAAAUGCAGCUCUCUGCUCUGCCUUUCUGUCCGAAAAAAAGGUUGCUCUUGGGCCAAAUUCAGAGCGUAGAGCCAAGUGCAGGCUAGACUAAUGGGCCAACUGCAUCCAAUUAGGCCCAUUCAGGGGUUUUCUUGCGUAUUUUUUUGUUUUCUAUUCUGAGUUAAUUUAGGCAGUAAAUCAUAAUGCUGAAACUUUUUGUGGAAGCUAAUUGAAUUAUUCCGGAGCCAAACAAUUAAGGUUAGAAAUUUUUCGGAGCUGUUAAUUAAUCCAAUUCAAAUACACCGUGAUUUAAAUCAAAGACCAAAAUGUCAUGGAAAAUGUGCCUCAGCUCUGGUAGAGGUUUACGCCAGGUGCCAAAAUAAAUGAACAUUUUUUAAGGGCAUUACAUUGAGGAAAACAUAAUAUGUAUAAAAAAUGAAGGGUGGAAAAUGCACAAAAAAUUGGUGCGGCUGGGGACUCGAACCCAGGACCGCGUGGGUUUGUGGUGUUUAGGGCUGCGCUGGUAACCGCUAGGACAGAUGGCAAGACUUUAACAUAGGUAGGGAAGGAAGGUAUACAUAGUGAGACUGUGAAUUUUUAAAAAAAAAUAGUGAGACCGUGAAUGUUUGCACACGCGUGAGAGUGGUUUUCCUUUGUUUUGCACUUAAAUUUUGGAGGGUUGGAAGGUUAAAAAUGUAUGUUGCACUACCACAUGAUUUUGGUCAGAGUGGCACUUAGUUUAGGGUUAGAGUGGCACUUGGUUUAGGAUUUAAAGGGAAUAAAUUUACAUGUUAGUUCAUGACUUUUUGUUUGAAUGAAACAGAGGGCUUCUCACCCCCUACGAUUUUCAUUAAUGAAAACCACAAGUUUUUGAACUUCAUGACUUGUUUAGGGAAGAAAUGAUAAGUUUGGGCAUGGACAUUUUUUAACACACAUAAUGAGAUAGAACACACCGUACCAUUACAAUAACUUAGAUAAGUUCAUGGACAGUUCAUGGACACAUGACGAAACAUGACACGACACGACAUGACAUAGAAAAGCAACAAAAUAAAAAACCAAACAUGACGAGCUUGACUCCGGGCUUGAACAUCUUCAUCUUGACCUCCUUCUUCCACCUUGGCCGCGCGCGCCCCUUCAACACCAUCUUCAUCUUCACACCUCCUCCUCGUCGUCGUAGGGAAGGGAGUGCAUCUGGCCUGGAGCGGGGAAGAUGCGCUCGUAGUUGGUGUAGAUGUUGUAGAUGGUGAAGAAGAUGGCCUCGCAGCCGCACCAAAAGACUUGGCCGAGGAGCUCGCGCGCGUCAAAUGGGUUGGUGAAGGUGACCGUGAGCAGAAGGAGGAUGCCGUCGUGGUCACGAACCUCGUUGAGGGUGAACAUCCUCGGCGAGCCCCGUGGGAGGUGGGCAUAGCCGGCUCUGAGGAAGGCGCGGGUGAGUUCGACGGAACCCCUCCACCUUGAAAUAGCCCACACACGGAGCUCCCUCUCCACGAGCACGCCCGGUGGGUAGCGCAGCUCCGGCACCACAGGCAGACGGCGGAAGGUCGGCCCGUUGAAUUGCAUCUUCUUCACUUGGUCUCGCUUGGGGAGGGCUUCGUCGCUUGGGUGUUUGAAGUUGGAGAGAAUCGGAUCUGGCUUGUGGGUGGGAGAGGAAGAGAGGCACCCCAUUUAUAGGCCUGUGGGUGGGAGAGGAAGGGAGAAAGGAUGAGAACGGUGCGUGCGUGAAUCCGGACGCGUGUGUGUAUCCGUUACGUUUUGCACACUUAAAUUUUUGCAUGAAAACGAUGCAUCUUUGACCGGGCAGUGCAUGUGAACCGCUGCCCUGAACCACUGCCCUGAACCACCUAGCUCGCCUUGCUAGCCUAGCUCGCCUAGCUGGCCUAGCGCGCCUCGCUCGCCUCACUCGCAUGCAUGCACGUCGCCGCCUCCCGCGCAUGCGCAAACCCACGUAGCCGCCUCCAUGCAUGCAAGGCCUGGAAAGGCUGAGACGGGCUAUUUACUGCGAUCUCAGGCCCAGACAACGAGACGGCCCAACGGUCCAUCCAGCGCGUCCGAUAUUUGUUAAAAAAACAAUCUCCCAGCCAAUCAGAUUGCAUCUCGCGGAUCGCCCCCCUCCUCCCCGCAGAUUUCUUCUAGAAGGGUUAGAUCGACGGCCCUUGAUCACCGCUAGGGUUAGAUGAACGGUCCUUAUUCAGCGCUAGGGUUAGCGGGGUUUGGGAGGGGUUUGGAGCAGUCAAAGCUAUGUUUGACCAGAUUUCAAAUGAGCAUAAUAAAUUAAAUAAAAAUCAGAAAAAUGAAAAACCUGCGCACAUAGUCUUCUUAUGUCAUAUACUAACGNNNNNNNNNNNNNNNNNNNNNNNNNNNNNNNNNNNNNNNNNNNNNNNNNNNNNNNNNNNNNNNNNNNNNNNNNNNNNNAUUUCAAAUGAGCAUAAUAAAUUAAAUAAAAAUCAGAAAAAUGAAAAAUCUGCGCACUAGUCUUCUUAUGUCAUAUACUAACGAUUUAAAUUGAUAAACAAGCUUUACAUACAUUUAAAUGAUAAGUUCAUGUGUAUUGUAUGAUAUCUCGAGUAUCUCAAACUCUCUGGUAUGAAGUGAAGAGAAGUGUUUUGGGGAAAUGAACAUGAAAAUUUCAAAAAACUCACCACAGCUUCAUUUUGGAGUGACUAAGAAGGAUCCAUGCUUAGUUUUUCAUUUUGAUGUUUUAAACUUGUUUAAAUCUUGGUCAAAGUUAAGUUUGACCAGAAUUCAAAUGAGCAAAACAAAUUUAAAAAAAAUUCAAAAAAUGGAAAAACCAGCGCACAUAGUCUGUACAUAUAGAAUAUAUGUGUAGGAAAGUUAUUUGGCUGAUCUAGAUAAGGUCAACAAAAACCUUGCUUAGAAAUGAGGCCGUUUACCCUACCUUUGGACCCCUCUUUUUAGCACAUUUUUCAUGAAAAUUUCAAAAACCUCACCACAACUUCAUUUUGGAUUGACUAAGAAGUAUCCAGGCUUAGUUUUUCAUUUUGAUGUUUUAGACUUGCUUAAAUCUUGGUCAAAGUUAAGUUUGACCAGAAUUUAAAUGAGCAAAACAAAAUUCAAAAAAAUCAAAAAAAGGAAAAACCAUGUGCUCAUUCAAACAUCAUCCAACAGAUAUUUAAACAUCAUGUCAAACAUACUUCUAACAUAGGUCCAACAUCAUCCAACAGAAAUACAACAUGUCAAGUGAUAAAUGUUUCAUAAUACAACAUCAUUCCUUAUUCAUAAUGUUUCAUAAUUGUUCAUGGAUAGCGUUGGGGCUUCUGUCUGUUUCUUGAGCUUCUUGCCAUCACUUUGCUCCUCGUGCACCUUGUGAUCAUUGUUUCUUCUCUUCUUCUCUUGGUUGUCGGUACCUUGCGCGUCUUCUUCAAACCUACCAUAGAGCUGUGCAAAACAUAAAGGGUCCAAACAUAAACGGUAAUGAGAUCGUGUCAAGUGAUAGAUAUACAGUAGUAUUUGACCCUUGCAAGAUUUACAUACCUAGCAGAACUCCAUUUGGAGCCUCACUUGGAUCACCAUGAUCACCAUUUAGAGCCUCACUUGGAUCACCAUUUGGAGCCUCACUUGGAUCAUCAUUUGGAGCCUCACUUGGAUCAUCAUUUGCAGCCUCCAUGGACAACCCUCAGUCGGACAGUGCACUCUGUAACGUACUUGAUCGCUCUUGUCAACUUUGAAAGUACGUUCUACCUUGAUGCAGUAUGUCACAAGUGCAUUUCUACACUCAUUCAUGGAUGCAAAAACUGUACCUUCUUCCAUUUGAGGGUUCAAAGGGCCCCAUUCAACAGCUGCAAGGUCUUCGUCCUCACCCAUCGCGUCAUCAUCCACACGGACUGCAUUGUGAGCCUCAUCUUGGUUUUCAGCCCGAGGUGCCCGUCGUAAAUUCUGAAUAACAUCAGAAUAUAACUUCUCUUCAUCAACCCCAGAAUUGUAGCCAUCAGGCUCCACUUCAAGGGGGACCCUACUGCUGUUGCCCACACUUGUCGAGCCACCACGUCGUCGUGCACCAACUGAACUGUUCUGGCUAGAGAUGCCAUUACGACGACUUGAUUCUCCCCGAGAUGUUGCACCCGCCAUCCUAGGUCCAAAUGCCUGCUCAAGCACAUCAACUUGCAGCCUCACAUGAAAAUUAUCUUUCUCUUUAUGCCUAACAAACAUGGUAGCUAGCUCUUCAUCAUUACUAACUGUCACCCAAUUCUUUUCACCAUCAUAGUAUUUGUAUACCACUUCAUCAAGCAAACCCCAAGGAUAUUGGCUACAAAUUACCUCCCCAAAUUGUCUGAAACUCCAAUUACUAGCCAUUGGCAACCGAUAAUCAAAACCUCCUUGGUAUUUCUUCUUAUCCUUUGCAUCGAACAUGUACCGGUCCCUUCUAAUGUGCACCAUGAAAGCAAACCGCAACUCCAUCCUAACCGGCGAAAAACAGAGACGCAAUCAGCACACUAAUUGGGCAAACCUACUCGAAUCGAGUGUUCAAAUGCACAACUAAGCUCAAUCUAAACAAGAGGCGAGACUUACCCCUCGGGAACCCAGUCGUGGACGCGGCGGAUCUCCGGCCCGAUGCCUGCCUCGCCAAAUACUCCGGGGUCGCCGCUGCUCACCAUUUCGCCCUAGGGUUCUUCCUCCUAGUUCAAAUAGCUCCAGCAGCCCCCCACCUUUGAGCGCUCCGGCCGGGCGCACGGAAGGAGGCCGCGCCGCGAAUCGAGCAGGUGGCGGGCGCCCCACCCGUGGCGUCGCAGGAAGGUGGUGGGCAUCACAAUGAGCCGUGAAGCGUAGGCGCAGGGAGGUAGCGGCGGAGCAGGCCGUGCAACUGGUGGCGGGGCAGGUGCUGGCCGAGGCGCAGGUGGCGGCGGCGGCGGCGCAGGACAGCCGGCCGGGCGGAUGGGUGUGAGCUAGAAUGAUUUGGGGAUUUAGUUGCAGGGGCCUACAUGUCAGCUCCGGACCCACGUCCACGCGGUCCCACGUGUAAGCUCCGGACCCACAACUACUAACGCCGGCGGACGGAAUGGACUCAAAUAUGGCCGUUUGGCCUCGUCGUAGUUGCUGUGCUCGGACUAGGGGCAAAACUGAGGACAAUUUGCAUCUGAGGGCAAAACUGAGCACAUGGACACCACUGAGGGCAAAAGGAUAAUUAACCCUACAAAAUAAACAUUAAUACAAAUUGACAGGCACAAGCAUAAUCAGAAAAUAUCUACCAAGAGCAUACCGAAUGCAUGACUGUUAUUGUUUCAUUCAUAGGUCCAGCCAUGACUAUUUCAAGUUCUCUAUGGGCAACACAAACUCACCAGGAAAUGAUCAUCAUCAGGCAUCUAUGGGCAAACAUCACCUUGUUUGCUUUGUGCUCAACUACUUUCUGAAAUAGAAAUAUAGAAGUUUCAGCAGCAAGCAGCCAAGUAAAGUGACACAUUAGUAAGGCUGCUAUUUAUAUCCCAUCAUAGCAAAUCAAUCUAAGAUAUAGUUCCAACUUCCAAAUGCAAUAGUGAGCCAUGGGGAGCAGGAUUUCAAAACCAUGACACCGCAUAGGUUAUAUGAGUGCACAUCUUAAUCUUGAUUCUGAGCUCUGGUUAACCAAAAAGCAAAAGAAUUAAAAUCAAACACGAGAAGUUGAGAACAGGAAACCCAUGUGACUCAGAUCGUCCUGGACAUCUCUUCACAUGACACACGAAAUUAAAUUGUUAAGUUGUAUAGCAGAAAAAAAAUUCAGAACCAAAUGACACAGGCUAGGAAGGCAAAUUAAAGAGGCUGCACAUGAUUAAUAAGAGGAAGGGUUGAUUCUAUUUUUUCCAAGGUGGAUACAGAGAGAGAUCCUUUAUUCCAACUGUUCAUCCAAGUCUUGGACCGUUUGAGCAAACAGGUAUCACAUCCUAUCCUCUUAUGAGCAUGUCCCGAGACACCUUGUGGGCUGCUAAAAGGAUCACAUAUAUGAAGUACCAGAGAGCUCUGUUCUUUGAUAAUCUCUCAUUAUUAUCUCAUUAAAACUUUGUGGGCAUUAAUUAGGCAUAUAUAUUAGUAGUGACAAAAUAGCUAUGCACCUUUAUGUCCUCUGCUCCUCUACCUAUAGAGUUCACGGUCACCAUACAAAAAACAAUGAAACAAAGAAUAAUAAAGUACAUCAGCAGACAUUUGAUCAAUACGUUCAGCUAGCCUUCUACCUCAAUCAUCACAUCAAAUCUCUUUAUUUGGGUCAAGAGGAGAAAAAACUAUCAAACAGGGGAUAAUAAAAAUGGAUUCACCAUGAAAGAGUAAAGAAGAGAGUUGGUACCUACUCGUACGCAAGCGUGAAUUCUGGUGUUUCCAACUUUAAUGAUAGGCUAAUCGAAACGAGAGGCCAAGCAGUCCUGGAUAAUCAUUUUGAAAAGUCUAAUUAGACAAUGUUAAGUGCAAGAGAGGCAAGGUGACUAAUUUUGCUUGCUGCUUGUAGAAGACAACAUCCUUAACAUAACCACCAUCUAAGCACUCCGCAAAUGAAAGGCCAUCAGUGAUACAGGCUAUCAUUGUCAGCUUCACCAUUUUGAAAAGAUAACAAGACACAAGCAAAAGUGCCACCUGCAGAAAAAAGCAGAGGAGAGCUAGUAAAUACUUCUAACAUGUUCACUUCGGUAUAGAGGAUCCUACUUAUCCAAUGACCCAUAUAUCUCAAAUAGAACAGAUUAAUAUAUCUCAAGCAACAGUUAAUGUCCAGUAUGUUCUCCAAAGUUACAGAAUAUAACAGGUUCAGAGACUGUCAAGAUCAAACAAUAGUGAGGGGAUUUUGUAGCCACAUGGCAAAGCUAAUAAAAUUUCUUCUAAUUUAAAUCUCAGACAUCUCAAUUAAAUAAAUAAUUUGAUACAUAACUGAAACUGAACUCUAACCUUUUGUUGUUUAGUUGUCUUCUAAUGACUAUCAACACAGGUAUAACUAAAACUUCAAAAGCUUAAUGUUAACCAGAUUAGAAGUUUCAAAGUAUAAGACCAUAUUGAGCAAGACUAAGGUAAAAGCAAGAAAGAUUAAAAUUGAUUAACACAAUUACACAAAGAGACGUAUUUUUCCUUUUUCAGGCAACCAAAUCUAGCUCAAUGUAUGGUAUGUAUUUGUUAUUAAAUAUUUAAUCAGCAAAGUCUUGAGAGAGAUGGGGGGGGGGAUCUUACCAGUUGAAGGGGCCACAUGAGUGAGGGGUGAGGAGACGCUCAGAAGCAGCACCGCUAGCCAGCAGCAACUCAAAGGCCGAAGCCAAUCAACUGUACUCCUGAUGCUCACCCGCCCGCACUUGGUCCUUUUGCCUGUGACACUGUACAGCAGAAACACAUAAAAUUGAUCACACAGAGCUUAGAGCAAGUUUCUUCUUGCAAAAAUAAUAGAGCAUAUUCCUAACACACAUAACCGAUGCUAUUCAUUCACACCUCUUUACACUUCCUUGUAUAGUCGUAUGUGUAUAUGUGUUUCACUGUGUGGUUUGAUACAAUGAGACUUCACCUCCAAUUCAAGCAUAAGCAUAUGAAAAAUGGUAUAGUGAACCUGAGUUUGAUUCUCUGAAGCUCGGAGCCUUAAAUAUUUUAAUAAAGAGAACAUAAAAAAACUCUACUGAGCAAUCCUCUAUGGAGAUCAUAUUAUCUUUCUGGAGGAAGUGCAACGAAAUGGAUUGUGGAGGGAUAACUUCAAUAUGCAAAUAGUAUCACUUUGAGGAAAAAUUCUAGAAUCCCCUUGAAACAAUCACGUGAGUGUAUUGUAUGCGUAUAUCUUACCUUAGCAACAGGAGGAAGAGGCAAUCAUAACUCUCCUUCUUCCAACCUUCCUCUUCAGCUUGCCUCUUUAGUACUCUCCUUCUUAGCAACAGGAAAAAAUGGCAGUACAAGCAGAUCUUCAGUACUCCAAUUUAUUUCAGUUUUGACAGCUUAUUUUCAAUUUCAAAAUGGAAAAUACUCACAAGAGUACCUUGUACGAAUAAACCUACAGAUCAACAUGUGUCAGGAAAACAGAAAUUAAACGGAUAGAGGAUGCAACAAGGGAGGGCGUGGUGAAGGAAGGGGGAGGAGGAAGGAGUGGUGGGGCUACCUGCCUAUGGACCCGUCGGCGGCGCCGGGACUGGCAGCGGCAGGGAUGGAGGCGCUGCUGCCGGCCAGCCCCAUGGCCAGCGGGAAGUGGAGCCGCGUGUGGGGGCGAGGAAGGAGACAGAGAGGAGCCGCCAGAGUCCAUCGGAGCCGCACCGGCGACGAAGCAAGCAGCGGGAAAGAGGAACCCGCGUCUCCCUCCUCACCUGCUCUGCUCGGUUGCGCCAUGGCCGACCUUGCGGGCGGCUCCUCGGUGAUCUGGACGCGCCACCUGACCUGCCCGGCCACGGUGGCCCUCCCUGUCCUGGCUCGUGAUGAGGGAAGGAGGAGAGGAGAGGGCGGGGGCGCUCCUCUUGCCGUGUGCAGGCGAGGACGACCGCGACGACACCGGGGAAGUGGACGGAGGCGGUCCGGCAGGCUGGGCGAAGUAGACGGCGGCGACGGCGGGAGCUGCUAGGGUUUUGGGAGCAGAGAGGUGGGAGAGGGAGGUGGAGGCGAGGCGUGCCAGCCGGGAUCUCGAUCCAACUCCAGCCGGCCAGCCCUAUCGUCGCCGGAAAGACCACCCUACCCCAGGGCGCCUACCUCCUCCUAUCCUCCCUCCGCAUCUUCUCUUCUGCAGGGACGCAUCAACGGGAUCGAGAGAUCGGGGAAACGAGCAACCGGCCGCCGGAGGCGAGGCCCACCCCCACCAUCGAAACCCUAGCGGGGGAAAUCGAUGGGGGUGACCGCAUGAGGCGAGGAAAAGUAGAUCGACGCGGUGAAGCUAGUAGAGCUCAUCCAGGAGCAGCUGUGUGUGUGUUGGGUGGCGCCAAAGCUCGCCGGAGCGGCCGGAAUCGGCCGGCGACCGAGGCGGCGAUAGUGGGGAUCGAGAGAGUAGGCAGGAGGGGGGUGACGGGAGGAAGAGAGAUGGGCUGCGCGAGUGCGGGAGAGAGGUGGCUAGGGUUUCUCCAUGGGCGGCACGGCAAUUUAUACGCUUGUAUGCGAAAUGACGGAAAUGCCCUCGGCGGGGCAGGCUAUUUACACGCGGUGGCACAACCGGGGCGCGUCGGUCCAGAUCGGACGGUCUGCGAGCGCCGGGUUUCGAUCCGGCGGCUGAAAUCGAUCCGGAGUGAGAUCCAACGGCGGGAAUUGCAUGAAGGAAAUGAUCCGACGGCCAGAAAGCCCAAAUCGCUGAGGAGCCUUGUGCAUCCACUCGUCUCUUAUUUCUGGAUGUUGCUCUUGUGAAGAAAUACACUAGUAGAAAACGGAGCUUUAAACCCGGUUUGUAAGGGCCUUUAGUGCCGGUUAUGGAACCGGCACUAAAGUGUGGGCACUAAAGCCCCCCCCCCCUUUAGUACCGGUUCGGCACGAACCGGCGCUAAAGUGCCACCACGUGGCGUGAGCUCGCGCCCUAGUAUGGGGGACCUUUAGUACCGGUUGGUGUUACCAACCGGUACUAAAGUUUUUUUUUGAAAAUUUUCAAAAAAAAAUUUGAUUUUUUUUCAGUUUUUAAUUUUUCUGAAUUAUUUGAUGAUUUAGUCACUAAUCACCUCUCUUAACUGCUCAAGUGUGGAUCACUCAUUCCAAAUCAUCUAACUUGCCGACCGGUCACCCAUCCCUCUCACUACUCCAGCCCGAGCACGCUUAACUUUCGGAUUCUAUUCGUUUCCGAGUCUGCAAUUGUUGUUUUCCUGACAAUAGUAAGAUGUCAACCCUAUUAACCCUCAGGAGUUUAGCUUGAGCAUGAAGUCACACAUUUCACCAUUUGAGUUUGAAACUAUUAUUCUAAAAAAACAGUAAUUAUUUAGUAACGCUAAUAUUUCUUGAAUAAGUUUGACCAUAGUUUGACUAAAAUUCAAAAAAUUGAAAUAAUUAUUUAGUAACACUAAUAUUCUUGAAUAAUUAUGUAGUAACAUUAAUACUUCUUGAAUAAGUAGUUUGACCAAAUUUAACCAAAUUUUUUUAAAAAAACUCAAAUUUGACCAUAUCUUUUUUCCUUUUCGAAUUUGAGGAUUAUAAAAAAUUCCAAACAGGCCGUAGGCGGUCUCCAUCGGAUGUGGAUUUUCAUGCUGAAUUUUUUGAUAUAUUAUACAUUUUUUUCCGACAUCGUAUGCAAAAGUUAUAGCCGUUUUACAUUUUCCCUACACUUUUUGCAAAACAUGUCCAAAUUUAAGUUUUCAAAUUUUCCUAACUAGUAGAUAUAGUAAUAUAACUACAUCUCGAUGGAUUUUAUUUUUUGAAGUUUUUAUCAUUUUCAUNNNNNNNNNNNNNNNNNNNNNNNNNNNNNNNNNNNNNNNNNNNNNNNNNNNNNNNNNNNNNNNNNNNNNNNNNNNNNNNNNNNNNNNNNNNNNNNNNNNNNNNNNNNNNNNNNNNNNNNNNNNNNNNNNNNNNNNNNNNNNNNNNNNNNNNNNNNNNNNNNNNNNNNNNNNNNNNNNNNNNNNNNNNNNNNNNNNNNNNNNNNNNNNNNNNNNNNNNNNNNNNNNNNNNNNNNNNNNNNNNNNNNNNNNNNNNNNNNNNNNNNNNNNNNNNNNNNNNNNNNNNNNNNNNNNNNNNNNNNNNNNNNNNUAACACAAACCGGUACUAAAGGGGCUCGUGGGGACCCGGCCUGACGCCAGCCUGCCACUACCCCUUUAGUACCGGUUCGUGGCACGAACCGGUACUAAAGGCCCAACACGAAUCGGUACUAUUGAUCGCAGCCAUGAACCGGCACUAUUGAUCACAUUAGUGCCGGUUUUUUUACAAACCGGCACUAAUGUGCUUCACAUUUGACCCUUUUUCUACUAGUGAUAAGAGAUGGACAUGUCGUGUGAUGGUUAGUUAUCUACUCCCUCCGUUCCAAAUUACUCGUCGUGGUUUUAGUUCAAAUUUGAACUAAAACCAUGACGAGUAAUUUGGAACGGAGGGAGUAUCUAGUAGUAUACUCCUAGUAAGCUUGAUUCGAUGCUAGGUCAGAGCUGUCACUAUGGCUGUUUAGUUAGUAUGAAGUCUGAACCGGAACUCUAGCUAGCAUGGGUUAUUUACCUUACCUGUGGCUGUGGGCAUAUUAUAUGAUUUGACGUACGCUCUGAUGAAGGGUUUCCAUUCUAUGUAAUCAUAUAUCAUUUCACUGCUGAUUUGUAUCCGUUGCGUUAAUUGCUUUGCUGGGCGUGGAACUACAGGGGGAAGCAUCCAAGCAACUUCCUCCCGCGGAUGGAGUGGUCUUGUUGCUUUCACGCUUCCUGAAAUGGGCCUGGAGUGGCCAGCGGGAGAGCGUGAUGGUGUUGUUUCUCAGAUGUAGCACCAUUUUCUUGCCGCACACAAAAAUGAGGAAAAUUUCGAGCAUACAUUCCAUAUACGCUAUGGCUGACUGGAUGGCAGUGGGUUCAUGAUGGUCAUCGAUGCUUGUGAAGUACUCCCUCCGUCCGAAAAUACUUGUCAUAAAAAUGAAUAAAAAGGGAUGUAUCUAAAACUAAAAUACAUCUAGAUACAUUCUCUUUUAUUCAUUUUGAUGACAAAUAUUUCCGGAGGGAGGGAGUACGUAGGACUGUUAGUGCUAGCCAUGCUCAACAACUAAAUUAGAAUUGACAAUACUAGCUAGUUACAGUACUUAACUUCCUAAUCAGCUCCUCUCACCUAACUGAGGCACAUAUGCGGUCUCACUCCGUCCCUAGUAAAGAAGAGACGCACAAGUCCAAUUCACUCCACUCCAUGUGCGUGCUGAGCAAAAUUCCUUAAUUUCUCGGCCAGUAAUUGAAGGUUGCAGUUGCAUGUCUACACUCUUGGUCGUUGCACGCUUCAGGAAACGAGCACACAUGAUUCCAUGUGCCGCUGUGCUUAGCAUGGUUCCUUUUCGUUCUGUUGCUUUCUUGCUUUGCACUUACAUCCUGCGAUGUCAAUUUCUUGCCUUAUCGUUCGGCUUGGUGAAGGCUAGCUAGCCACACAUGGCAUUUAUCAUAAAUAUAUACAGUGGAACAACAAAAAAGUAGUUAUCAUUACAUCCUGUGAUGUCACUUUCUUGCCUUAUCGUUCGGCUUGGUAAAGGCUAGCUAGCUAAACAUGGCAUUUAUCAUAAAUAUAUUCAAUUAGAAUCACAAAAGAGUAGCAAGGUACACUGUGCAUUUGCCCAGCUAUAUUUCUUUUUUACAUUUACCUGAAUUUAUUUUGCUGUUACAUUUACUUGAAUUUCUUGUAUAAAAAACUAAUUGAAUUUAUUCAUGAAGCACCACAAUUUAUAUAUGUGAAAUAACUACUCUAAGGCCAUGCUUCCCCCGCACUUUUUUUUUUCAAUUUUUCACAACCUAUAUACACUCUUGUUUAGAUUGAUUACUAACCUGCCGAUGUGGUUUAGGCCUAUAUGUACAUUGUGUGGAAAGUGUGCACAUAUGUGACAAAGGAAAAUUCAAGCACAAAUUCCAUCUAUAAAUCUAUCUAUAAAUAGUUAAAUACAAUAUGCUCUCGAAUUUUUCAGGCCUCACAUUCAAUUGAGACCUCCAAUCUGAAAUUGGCUCACCUGAUUUUGACCGGGUCAACAAUUUCUCUUGGAGCUCUCUCAUUAAAUGCUUUUUGAUUUACUGUGCCCCCUAAUUUUGAAGCUUUCCCAUUCAAUUGAGGUAUUCAAUUUUUUAUUUGUUUCACGAUUUUAAUCGGAUCAAUGCAUGAUUUUUCAAAUUAAUUGGCAGCAAUCGGCCUAUAAAAACAUAUCAAUUCCGUGCACUCUCCCAUCACCUAGAAAGAAGAACCACAAACAUGUGCUACAGUGGCAUCAAUAUAGUACAUGCAACCAACGGUGAAGAAAAUGUCCCCACAUAAGUAUGGGUUGACUAGCAGAUAACACACUUGGUUCCGCUUGGUGAAGGCUAGCUAGACAUAACUUUUAUCAUGCAAACUACCCCCUCUCUUAGGGUUUGCGUGGGUAGCCCUAUAUUGACAAUUUGACAAACGGAAUACAAGUUAUUUAUCUUAAAAUUGUACAAUUCAAAUAAAAAAACUUGGGAUUUGAGCCAACUAGUAACUAGUCAAACAUAGCUAGUGUGAGCUGUGCUGGUAGGCCUACUCUUCUACAGCAACUAUAGUAGAGUGGCACAUCCGCAGUGUCCUUGUUGCGUGUAAAACACAUAAUAUUUUGAAGGUGACGCGCGAGUCACCAUAAUGCAGCUAUUUCUUACUUCUAUUUCUUUUAUGCUUGCAUCAACUCAAUACUCAUACACUCAUUUGGAGGGAUUCUACACUUCAAUUGACAUAACAAAGUUCUUACCUAGUAGAAGAAACGUCAAUUAGUGUCUUCCUCGUACAUAAUUAGUAGUGAAGUUGUUCAAAAUUUAUCCUUUUAUAUAUGUAGCAACUUUAUAUCCUGCAUCUUGAUCCCGAGUCAAUGGUGAAACUUAAGCACGAGUACAUGCAUAUUUGACGAGUCAGCUCGAUGACUAGUUGCGACAUUGUGACGGUCUGGCAUGGUUGAUGUCAGAGUGAUACUUGUAGGGGACAUGAGUAGCUGGUAGGCGCUACCACGGUCCCUAGCACAACGAAAUUGGGCUAUCUCACCUUCAUCCCAUGCCUCCUUUACAAUGAUGGUCCAAGAUGGUGCACUUUGUUUCCGCUGCUACCGCAUGUACCGCCUCGAACUCACACUAGAAGGCACACUGCCUCUCUGCCACUUCCGCUUGAGCCACCUCGAACUCGUACCAGGAGGCUUGCUUCCACUGCACCGCCAAUGCCUACCGUUGACAGUCUCCUCAAAUAUAUCACACAUCACAUAGGUGAAAGGACGAGGCAUAGGAGGCGUAGCAAUCAUCACAUGCCUCCUUAAUAGUGAGAUGGCGAGGAACCUGUUGUGGUAGGGCAUUUAAGCUGCGUUGGUAGACUUGGGCAUGGUGUCGGGAGAUCUUCGGCCUGGCACCACACCAUAUAGGGGAUACCAAUAUAGCACGUACCAACUACCGAGGAUCCAACCCCUCCCACUUAGCGACGACGGAGGGAUCCUCCCGAAAGGCAUCUCGCGUGUCACGACUAUCCCACCCCUCCUCAGCCACGAGGGCAUCCUCCUCCUACGCGGCCUCCUUAUCCAGCAUAUGUCCCCCCUCUUCCUCCAUGAGCGGCACUCAAUCAGGUUGUAGGGGAAGUAGGAUGGUGCUGAUGUACGAAGUAGAGGCGAAGAGGGAGGUGUAGCUUUGGACAGCUGCGUGAUUAGCCGGGAUGGGGUAGCAUCGGCCUUGUAAUAGCCACGGCGUUGGGCGGCUGCAAAUGGCAUGCGCAGCAGGAAACAUCAGUAAUAGAAAAAACAUGCAUGAAAAGCGGCCCCCGAAAGUGGUUGUGACAUAGAGGGACAAAGCCUCCUGUAAUGUAAUGCUGAACAGCGGAGGCAGUUCCACAUGAGUAACCGCAUGUAGUUAGAAAAUCGCAUGUAAUACUUAUUUAUUCCAGGUGGUUAUAGAAUGGAUCCGUCUCCGAAAAUACAUGAUGACAAUUACAAUAUGCUAACCACCUCCAAGAGUUUGGUAACCAACUCACUGACACUGAGUUCACUAGGAAAGAGUCCAUUCGCUAGAGGGGUAGUGUUGCCGCCCGUUGACCGUGUUGAGUGAGCACUUUGUUCUUCUGAAAUAUGAGAGAUUCUGGAUUCCCGUGGAUAGGAUGAUUUCAAGAUUCACAAUGCACUCAGUCAGAAAGGUUUAUUCUCUUCCCUAGAAAAUGUUUAUUCUUUGAAGAGUUAGGGGAAACUUAUGUGUUGUAAAAUGUAAACCGGUCAUGAUCACUAUAAAACACUACUAUUGAAUAUCUACCUUUAAGGAUCAUCUAUUUCCUUUAAAUGUACAUACAAUGCCGAAAAAGGCUUUCGCCCCGCUUUAUAUAUAAAGCAACCAUCACAAGGCGAGUCCAACAAAGUAGCAAUACAGAAGACGACACACACACCAAACACAAACUCCUAAGGUAGCACAAGAAGGGGUUCCGCUGAGGGAACCAGCGCAACGAGCCCAAAAACAAAAAUAACAAGAGGAUACAUAUAAUUCAAAGUUACAUGUAAUGUACUGGUGCGGCGCUGCAUCAUGCUAUUGCCAAAAAAUAAAACCUACCAAAUUUUCUAAUUGGGCUAUCCCAAAAUGGCACAUAUAAGAUGAGACGAUAUCUAUGCAAGGAUGGGUUUUGUCUUUUUCGUUCAUCACAAUCAGUCGAGUUCUGUGGGACGGAUGCAUGAACUGUGGUAGUUUUUUUGUCAAACACUCCAAUCAGUCACUCCACAAUGUGAGAGCAGUGAUUCAUGGCUACAGUUCAUCCUUGGUGCAAGGCGCUAAACACCAACAUCAACCACAAGAAACCAUGUGCACCAUGGAGUGAUGGCAUACCGGCCAGGACAACGAACUCUAGUCUAGAGAAAAGAAAUGAGGACCGUUCACGGGUGAGUAGACACUGUCAAGAUAGUACCCCUAGCACCAGAAGCGGAGGAACAGCUUCCGCAAUGAUCAAAUGAUUGUAUAUUCAUUUCUACACCGUGUUGCCUAUAAGAGAAACUCAAGGUCUUAUCACAUCACAUUCUAGAUUGAACAGUAUUGUGUCGCUCCCCGCGAGCGGCCCGGGCGCUAACCCUAGCCGCCGGGCACCGCCGCCACCCAUCCCCCCCUCCUCCACCGUCGUCGCCGGCGAGCGCCGCCCGGGCAAAGCCCGUGUGGUGUCGGCGGCGGCGGGCUCUUCCACUCCCGCUCGUGAUGUGGGCUGCGCGGGGCAGCUGCGCCAAGCGGAGGAGGCAGGCGCGAGGCGCUGCGGCGUGUGGCUGAGCGCGGGCCGGCGCUGCUCGGCACGCCAUGUCGGAGGGGUGGCUAGCGCGCGCGCCUCUGGCGCGAGGAGGAGGCAGGUCGCGGCGUAGGAGCCGUGGGCACGCGAGUUCCAGCCCGCGCGGCUCUGGCGUCUCGAGGGCGCGCGCUGUGGUGGGGUGUCCGUGUCCGGAGGAGCGGCUUGGCUGCGCUGGGAGGCGCCGUGCUCGCGCGCCAGGGAUCCAGAUCUGGCGCCUGGAUGCCGCACCGUGGCUCUAGCGGCCCGGAUCUGGUGUGUUGGGGUCACGGCUGUGCUCGGAGCGUUGGCGGCCGGGCCCGCGCAUUGGAGCUCCGCAGGCAGCAGGGCUCGAUCUGGUUUCUGCUGGCCGUGCGGGCGAGGCUGUGGGAGAAUCCCCUCGCCGCCGCCGUUCCUCCAGCUAAUCCCCUCGCCACCGCCGGAGGCCACCACCGGGCGGAGCCCGCGUCGUGGCGGCGGUUGCGGGGACUCCCCCCCAUGGCGCGGCUCUACACUCCCGCGGGGCCCCGCGGCUGGCGGCCCGCCUGCGGCUCGGAUGCAUGGCGGCGGCCAUGGCUGGUGGCACGCGGCGCAGCUUGGCGGCGGGCGGCGCCGGCGUGGACAGGUGGACCACUUCCCUGGCCAUGUGGAUGGGUGGGAGGUGGUGGGCUUCGGCUGCGGCGGCGGUUCCUAGCUGGAUGUUGGUGGCCAUGGUGAUGUUCGUCCUCGUCCCCGAUCUACUCCAAUCUGUAGCGGAUCCGGCCCUUGGUGGCUUCGGUCACCAUUCUUGGGUGCUGGUCUUGCUGAUCCGGUGGCUGGAAGGGUUCCGGUGGAAUCUCUUGGCCGGCGUGGCGGCCACUCCGAUGGCAGUGCCUUCGGGUGUUGCUUCCCUCGUUGGAGGCUUCGGAGAGGACCUCCUUCCUUCCACCCCUCCUAGGAGCUCAGGUGAAAACCUCAGAACCCCCUAUUCAAAGCGACGACGACACCACGGUGCCGUGCUCCUUCCUGAAAGCGUUGCUCGGGGGCUGCUCAAGUGGCGGUGGAAGUGGCGGCGGUUCGGUGUCGACACAUGCAUUCUGGUCAGCUUCAUCUUGGAGGUUGCGAUGACGUAGGCGACGCUCGUCUGGUGGAGCUACUGCCGAUGGUCGAGGCAUCGUCGGCAGUCUGCGCCAUCAGGUUCGGGGUGCUCAGGGGGAAACCCCAGAUCUGGGUCUUCCGGAUCGGAUGAUGACGUCGUUCUAUCGCUUUCCCUUCUGGGGGCAUCGUCUUGAAGCAAGUGCUGGCUGGAGGGAUGGUGGAGCGGUGUUUCAUCUCACACUUUGAUGGCGGCGGAGAUCGAUGGCAUGGCGCUGUGGAGACUCGGCGUCCGAUGUGCGGAGAUGGGCUCGCGCAGGAGGAGAGGUUGCUGUCUGGCGUCAUGGUGACGUCGAUGGCUGAGUGGCCAGACAAGGUAGAAGCCUCAAUAUGAUCUGAAGACCUGUGGAAGAUGGCGGCGAUGACACACGAGUGCGUUUGACCGGAUUGUGCCCCAGACCCAGUAUGUGGCUCGGAUGGGGCUUCCGAAUGAGUUUCGGCUUCCGGCUUUUGAUGUUUGGCUUAGGUGGGUGGUUUGGGUAGUGGCCCAGCUAGCACCCCUUCAUCAUUUUGGAUAGGAGUAGCGGCAUAUGUUGCCAAGAUGGUGGAUUCAGGCAAAUUGUUGUAAUACUUUGUAAGGUCCUCGAGAAUAAUAAAUAAAGUGGUUGUAUGCAUCUCCCAGAUGCAGAGGUCGGGGGUCAUCCUCCUUUUUUAAAAAAAAAUCACAUUCUAGAUUACUAGUGGUGCAAAGAGAAGUCCACAUCAUUACUUCAUUGUCUAUUUUGGUUGUAAGGUAGCUAGAAAGAGAAGAAAACAAGGGAAAAACCUUUAGGUACGGUGCAUCAAUAUAUCAAAUCUACCAUUGCAGUCAUUUUUGAAAUAUGAGAAAUUUUACUUGAAGAUUCACAAUGUACAGACUCAAGCAGUUUUAAUUAUUCUCGGAGGAGUGUUUGGGAGAAACUUUUGUGCUGUAAAUUGUAAACCGGUCAUGGGCGCUGUAAACAUUACUGAAUGUAUAGCCCUAAUGACCAUUUCUUUUCUUUAGAUGUCAAUAUAAUUCAAACUCUCUGAGAGUCCAUUUCCUAAAUUUUUCCUCUGUUAUUCACGAUGCAUGGGAACCUUUUACUGCUCUGCUUUUUCACAAGCACGCUUGCGAGAGCGAGAGAGAGAGAGAGAGAGAGAGUUCAUUCAGCAUAAAAGGACCCCCAAAGGCUGCUGGUCGUAACACAACCCAGCCACAAGUCACACUCACACCGAGUCACCGACCACUCCACUACACAUCCAAAAUGGCGGCCGUGACGUUCGAAGAGGAGGUCUCCAGGCUGGCUGCCCGCGAAGCGGCCAUCUCGCCGGCGCUGGUGAGGACGGCCGUGGGGGCACUGGCACGCAGCAGCGCGGCCCGCGCCGCUGCCGUUGCCCUGUUCCAUCUCUUCGCCGGCACCAUCAGCGUCCUCUUCGCUGCAACAUUCCUCUACCUCGUCGUGUUCCGGGCCUGCGUCGAGAACUGCACCGUGGCCUCGGUAGUUUGGGAGAUCUUGGUUUAUUCUGGUAUGCUCUCCCUGCUACUCAUAGUGCCAGCGAUGGUGCUCUUCUUCCUGCGCGCCGCCGGCAGCGGCAGCGAGGUACCCGUCACUCACUCGUCAAACCCUCUCGCCCCGCGACGCCAAUUUCGCUUAUGAUGUGAUUGGCAAAUGUUGUAGGUCAAGGAUGAUGUGGAUGGUUGCGUCCGUUGGUGGCCGCUAAUCUGGCACGCGUCUGUGGCGUUCUUCCACUUGGCGCUCUUGGUGGGACUCAUCGGGCUCGUUCUUCAAAUCUGUGGCGGGUCUCAAGAGGUUUCUUACCUUCUCCGCACUGCGGCUGUGCUGUGCAAGCUCCUACUCACCGUCGCCUUCUCCAUCCGUGCUGCAGUGGCGCUGUGGAGGAUGCAUCCUCAGCAGCCGGCCGCAGUUGGUGCUGUGGUAGUGUGAUGAGUGUACGUAGUAAUCUAAUCUAUCUAGUAACUACUUGUAGUAGGCUUGCUUCAAUGCUAGGCCGCCAAGAAGAAGUGCCGGAGCUAUCUAUCUAACACAGCUCCAUUGUUUACCCCUGUGAUGAACAGCAUCCAUUCUAUGUAAUCAUGUACUCGUAGCCACGGUGAAUUCCAGUAUAUGUAAUCAGGUCCCUUAAUUCACUGCCUAUAUGACUUGACGUACGCUCUGAUGAAGUGAUGAAGAACCUCCAUUCUAUGUAAUCAUUUUG